AACAGGAGGAACAGGAACAAGCAAGUGUGGACCGAGUCAACUAAGAUGGUCACUGUAGUCCAUGGAGGCCAAGAUCACCAACUGAAGUCACCGUUUUUGACCAAGAAGGACGACCCAGGAAUGCAAAGCAUUUACUGCUCCAUAAAUGGAUACAACUUCUACAAGACAAUUUGUGACACCGGAUCAGGCGUCAACAUAAUGACCGCAGUCACCUAUCGGCUCUUGUUCGGGACCAUGCCACUAAGACCAACAUACAUUCAGCUCCAGAUGGCAGAUCAGACAUUUCGAGAAGUUCAAGGAAUAGUAUCUGAUGUCCCAGUCAAAAUAGACGAUCAUUUUGUCUACACAGACUUUCAAGUUGUUGACAUGGGAGAAGACGAGUAUGAUCCACCCAUCAUCCUUGGAAGACCGUUCCUCAGCACCGUUAAAGCCAUUAUCUACAUUGGAACCGGAGAAGUCCAUAUGCACUUGCCCCCAGAGAAGGUACGCUGUUAUUUUACUGACCCUAACUAUAUCAUUGAAGAAUCUAAGCAGGUAAGAAAACGACGCAACCGCAACCAGAGGAGGCAGAUCAUUAAGGACGGAUGGGCAGACUAUGAAGGAGAAGUUGUAAGGUCAGAAGGCGUAGAGUUUAAACAGAAUUAUCCAGAGGAGAUUGAAGCACCGAGUCAGGUGUGGAAAAUGAAGAUAACUAUACAAGAAGAGGAGGCGCUGCCGGAAGUACCGACUACGCCACCCAACGAACCUCAGGACGAUUAAGAAAUUGGAGAGUCCCGUUCGGAGGACUUAAAAACACCGAACGCCUUGCCAAGUGGUAAACUUGGUAGUUACCCUUUCCCUUUCAGUUAUUUUAAAUAGUUUACUUAGUUAAACAUGCUCAUACUGUCUUAAAAAGAAAAUAAAAAUGUGAAAAAUAGUAAGCCCCAUGUGAAUAGACGAGUGGCAUAAAACCCAUACGUACAUUCACUGUGGUGGCAUAAAAAUAAAAUAAAUAUUUUUUCUGCUUUAUAAAAUAAAAAUAUAAAAACAGGAAGUAAUAAUUAUUAAGGAGUCUCAAGAUGAUAAAGGCUAGAUAUUUAUGCUAACACUUAAUCAGUUCCACAAGCUUUGUUGUCUAUUUGAGCUCCACAGAAUUUAAGAAUCAAGAAGACUAGCAGACGGAGGACAUUCUAAUCGCUGUCAGAAUGCUGCUUUCAAAUACACCUCUGCCACCUGCUAGCUACAUCAAGAGAAAUUACGUCAAAAUUCAGCUUGGGGGAGAGCACCCCCAUUUAUCUCGAUAAGUAUUUCUAUCUUUAUAUUUAUAUUAUUUUAGAAUAUUAAUACACAUAAACUAUGGAAAAACCAAAUAAAGAUUUUAUGCUUAUAUAUAUAUAUUACUUAGUGUGUUUAAUUAAUAAAUAAAGUGGCUAUGCUAAUCUGUAUCUAAUAAAACUUAAGCAUGGAUAUGAUGAAUAGUUGCUCUGCCUAAUUUGCACAUUUUAAGUUCUCUCUCAAGUUUAGACAUAACUGUUAUAAUUUAAAGCUUGCCCUAGACCUAAACUUGUGGGAUGAAAACUUGAUCUGAAGUCUAAGUUGUUAACGGAUACGAUAUAGGAAGGUUGAGCUGCUGUUUAUCUGUUCCUAGAGAUGCUAGAAUUCUGGAGAAUUUAUCUUUGAAAAUCUUUAAAAUGUUGCAUGAUGAGUUCCUGUAUGAUGAGAGCUUAAAUUCCUACCACAGCCAUAUAUACAUGCUUGCUAGACUUUGAGCCACACAUUUACUAUUUAUUGCUUAUGAGCAUUGAGUAUGGUCAAGCUGUGUAGACCCUUAGGAGCUUGUCAUGUGGUUAAAUCAAGAUUUCACUUGCACGUUCACUCAUAUAUGCUACUUCUACUCCGGAAGUACCAUCCACAUACAUCCACUCAUUUCCAUCUCCAGAACCACCUAAAAAUAUUCUACUCCUAAUCCGGGAGAGAAUAACCAAAAAUAUUUCUGUUUUCCCCUUGUGAAAUAAAUGCUCAAGUUAUCUUGUUACUACCACUUGCUAUAUUAUCUCAAGAGAUGAAUGCUCUAAAAAAAAGAGAGAGAGAGAAGAAUAAUACGAGGAAAUAAAAAGGAGCAAGUGCUCGGAACCUCGAAAGAAAAGAAAAAGUGAGACGAGAGGUAAAAAUGGACAAGUGUCCGACAGUAGAAUUAGGGGUGCAAGAUACCCACCUGAGAGAAAAGAAAAAGAAGAGCAUCUCAUUCUCUUCCGUAGAGAAAAGAAAAAGAAGAGCAUCUCAUUCACCUGAGAGAAAAGAAGUUUCAAAAGCAAGGAAGGUAUGUAUCCCCUCAGAAGAGCAAAGUAGAAUUAGACUUUCACCACCAUUGUUUUCACCAUUGUUUUCACCAUUGUUAUCACCAUCAUCACCAUAUACCAUUCAUUCGCCACACAUGCACAUCUUGAUUAAACUUAUUGACUUGUUACUUCGGAUCCAUGGUUUGACUAUGCAAUACAAGUCUUGUAAGUAUGUAUAUUUUAUCUCCCACCUAUGAGCUCCAGAUAUUAAAGCCUUAUUAGAGUAGGAUGAGAGAGAAGGCAAUGUUACUAUGCCUCAUACCACAAAUACCACAUAUCUUGAGAGAAGGCAUAUACCAUCAAUGCCUUGGUAAGGAUCCAAAAAUACCACAAAAGAGAGACCUGAGAGAAUCAUACAAGGAAUUCUGAGUUUUAUUUGAAAAUCUGCAAAAACCCCAGAGCUAUAGCUGAUCAAGAAUAAGAGACAUGGCACUUGGCUAGACUGUUCUAUCUUUUAACCACUCAAGAUAGAAGUGACAGUUACAAGUCCCAUAGUGAAGGUAAAGUAAGUAAGUUUUAAGUCUUGACAGUUUACUCUAACUCAGAGAUGAGAUCUUAUUUAAGAGCAUGUGUACCGUCAAAUUUUUAAAGAUAUUGCAGCAACUUCUGAUCCAUAGCUGAGUCUAUCCUUGCUCAGGGACGAGCAAGAGGUAAGCUUGGGGGAGUUUGUUGACGGUCCUUAAGUAUCAAAUUUAAUUAUCAAAUAAAUAAAGAAAAGGAUCCAAAUGAAAUCAAGAUCUAGACUUAGGGUUUUAUCUGACAGAAUUCCACGAGUUUUGGUGUUUGUCUAUUUCUGCAGGGGGUUAUCAGGAAAUAUGGAAGAAAGGCCCACAUGUCAGGAUUACGUAAAGAUAUUAACGUGCUGCGCAAUUAUCUUACAUCUAGAAGACUCCAGAAGCCACGAGACCGAAGCGGAGGCGAAUCGGGGCCAGAGACAGGGCGCCCGCCCUGUCCAACUGGGCGCCCGCCCUGCCCCUAAGUCCAAUCAGGACUCUGCUUUGCGGGAAGUCUCCACCGACCUAAAGGAUGAAUCUAAACCAUACAAUCUAUGUCGGUUUGAUCCAAGGGCCCAUAUUCACUUGAAGGGACUAUAAAACCAGACCCCCUGGCCCCUGGAGGAGAGAGCCUCUCAACCCUAAUUCAUUGUUCCAUCAAGGGAGAAGAAGCCUCUGAUCAAGAUUAGAGCCACCACAUCAAUUAGAUAUCUAGAUUAGCAUGGCUACAUAGGAUUAGAACUAGAAGGAGUCAAUCUUCGAUUGGUUUCCGGAUCUGUCAGGAGGAUUCUUGGUAAUUCUCUAAUUGUGCUUCUAAUUGCUUUCUAAUUAUCUUUGUUCUUCAAUAUUAUGAAUAUGACUUUGUUCUACUUCAAUAUAUUGCUUAUGACUUUGCUCUAUUUGCUUAUAUUCAAGAUUAUAUUGUUCUUAGUUUAUCAUAGUUAUGUACUUGGCUUAGUUAGAUACGAUCUAUAUAAAUGCUUAGGAUCGUAUAGCGUUUAUCCAUCGGAUCCAUGGGUAAAUGAUAGAUAUUGUGUAGGCGUGGUGCUUAUACCGUAUUUAUCUGCGAUUGUACCCAAUAUGCCAGAUCGUGGGGUAGUUCGUUAUAGUGACAGCUUCAUUGAUUCUUAUAUAGUCCCCCUCUCGUGUAUUGGGUAAAUGAAGCCGGUUCUGCCUGUCCUAUCAACGGAGGGUGGACUAUAUAAGAAUCAACGAAGUUGUCACUAUCGCGAACUACCACACGACCCGACCAAUAGGAUACAUUUGCAGAUAAAUAACAUCUAAGCACCACACUCACAUGUGAUCUAUCACCUAACUCCCUCGCGUCAAGAGCUAAGCGCUUUGUAAACUUAUACAUAAACUCAUUAUCAAUUAGAACUAUAUCAAAUAUAGAACUAGAACAAACUAAGAACAUAAUAAUUAGAGACAUAAUGCAAUUAGAACAAUAGAAUUAGAGAAAGAUAUGGAUAAUACCAAUCUUUAUUACCGAAGAUCCUAAUCCAGAGCGUAGUGCUCUACUUCUCUAAUUGCUAUCUAAUCAAACCUCUAAACUUGAAGGAUUAGGGAGUAGCUAAUUCUAAUUCUCUAUGGGAGAGAAGCUCUAGACCCUAACUUUGAUGGCUAUCUCUGCAUAAUGAUUUCUUCUCUUCUCCUCUCUCUAGGGGGGUUUGGCCUUGGUUUUAUAGUCCCCUCAAGUGAACGUGAGCCAUUGGAUUAAACCGACAUAGAUUGUAUGAUUUAGAUUGAUCCUUUAGGUCGGUGGAGCGUAGUCCCGAAGCAGAGUCCCGAUUGGUCUCCAACCCUGGGCGGGCGCCCAAGGGGGGUGGGCGGCCACCCUGCCCCCGAGCCCGUUCGUGCUCUCGUUCAUUCCCGUGGCUUCUGGAUUCUUCUAGAUUGAGGAAAAUUGCGCGGCACGUAAUUAUCUCGUUGUAAACAUGACAUGUGGGCCUUCUCUCCAUAUUCUCUGAUAACCCCCUGUAGAAAUAGAUAAACACCAAAGCUCGUGGAAUUCUGUCAGAUAAAACCCUAAUUCUAGAUGUUUGUUUCAUAUUGAUCCUUUUUCAUGUUUAUUUGAUUAUUAAUUUUAGUACUUAAGGACCGUCAACAACCACAAAGAUGUUGAAGAAGCUCAACAAGAAUGGAGUCAACUUUGACUCCAAAAAGAAGAAGUUCUUCACAAGUAGCAAGAGGAAGCCCAUCUCCGAGAUGGAUUGCUACAAUUGUGGUGAGCUUGGCCAUCUUGCUCAUCAAUGUCCAAAGCCCAAGAAGGACAAGUACAAGAAGAAGAACAAAGAGCAAGAUGACUCAAGUGAUGAUGAGAAGAAUGACAAGAAGCAAUACAAGAAGAAAGGUGGCAAGAAGAAGGAGCACUACAAGAAGAAGAAUGGCAAGGCUUACAUUGUUGGUGAUUGGCUUACUGACAUUGAGAGCUCAAGUGGUGACUCCUCCGGCAAUGAGAGUGAUGAUGAGAAGGUUGCCGCCAUUGCCAUCGAUGCUCCAUCACCAUCAUCUUCACCACCAUCUACAUCCUCUACACACCUAUGCCUUAUGGCUAAGGGUGACCGGAAGGUACAAAGUGAGGAUGAGAGUAGUGAAAGUGAUAGUGAAUACGAAUCACCUUCUUAUGAUGAACUUGUAAAAUUGCUUAACAAGUACACAAAAGUCAUAAGAAAAACUAGAAGUGAAAAUGAAAAGCUUGAACUUGAAAAUGAUACACUUCUAGCAAAGCUUAAAUCUAGUGAUGAGCUUAGAGACCAAAAUGAGAUCAUGACCACUAAGCUCAAGGAGCUCAAACUCUCUCUAAAAGAGCUCAAAGAAAAACAUGAUAAACUUGAGAGUGUUCAUGAUGAGCUUAUCACUAGAUAUAGAGCAAUGAAAGAAGAACUAACAACUCUAAAAGCAAACUAUGACAACCUUGAUUGCUUAUGAACUUGCAAUUGAUGAAACACAUGUUGCUACUAACAAUGUUGCUAAGCUUGAUGUAGCCACAUCUUGUGAUGACUUACUUGUGGAGAGCACAAGCAAAUGUGUUGAUUGCAAGGGCAAGAAAGUGGUAGUGGCCGAGAGUUAUGAGGACACUAUCAAGCUCAAGGAUGAAAUUGUCAUGCUCAAGAAAGAGUUGCAAAACCAAGCCAAGCACAAGACCAUUGUGAUUGAGUCACUUGAUCAAGACAAGAAGCUUGCAUAUGAGAACAAGUUACUCAAGGAAGAAAAUCAAUAUCUCAAGCUUGGUUUGAUGUAUGACAAGCAAGAAGAGGAUGAGACAUUCAUCUUGGAUGAGUUAGCUAGCAACAAUGACCCAAUCAUCAAAAAGCUAACUCAAGAGAACAACAAGCUCAAGAAAGAGAAGGAACACCUAACCAUGGGGUUAGCAAAGUUCACAAAGGGGAAGGACCUUCAAAGUGAGCUUUUCAUGAACACCAUCAUGAAGAUGGACAAAAGUGGAAUUGGCUACAAGGCUAAUCAAACAAAGCUCAUCAAGUCACUAGCCACUCAUGAUCAACCAAGCAAGCUAAAGCCAAAGAGAUGCUUUGAGUGUGGUCAAGAAGGACACUUUGCUGAUGAGUGUAAGGCACCACUACCACCACCCUUGCCCAAGCAUGCAAGACCAUUUGCCUUCAAUGCUCACUACAUUGUAAGGAAAGACAAGAGUGGCAAGGUCAAGGUUAGCUUCAUGGGGCCGCCCAACAAGCAAAGGCCAAAGAAGAUUUGGGUGCCAAAGCAACUAGUAGAGAAGGUCAAGGGCCCUAAGCAAAUGUGGGUCCCUAAAUCUCAAGCUUGAUCUCUUAUGUGUAGGUGAACUACAAGACCGGCGGAUCACAUUGGGUAAUUGAUAGUGGUUGCACUCAACAUAUGACCGGAGAUCCCCAGAUGUUCACCUCUCUUGAUGAAGAUGUUGACAACCAAGAGAAGAUCACAUUUGGUGACAAUUCAAAAAGCAAGGUCAAGGGACUAGGAAAGGUUGCUAUAUCAAAUGACAACUCCAUCACCAAUGUGCUCUAUGUGCAAUCAUUGAGUUUCAACUUGCUCUCGGUUGGACAACUUUGUGAUCUUGGAUUUGAAUGCUUAUUCAAGAAGAAGGAAGUGAUUGUGACCAAGGAAGAUGAUAAUGAAGUGAUAUUCAAAGGCUUCCGACACAACAACCUAUAUGUAGUUGAUUUCUCAUCCGAUGAAGUUGAUGUCAAGACUUGCUUAUUCACGAAGACUUCACUUGGGUGGUUGUGGCAUAGAAGGUUAGCACAUGUUGGAAUGGGCACACUCAAGAAGUUGAUGAAGAAAGAAUUGAUUAGAGGCUUGAAGGAUGUGACAUUUGAGAAGGACAAGCUUUGUAGUGCAUGUCAAGCCGGCAAGCAAGUUGCAAAUACUCAUCCAACCAAGGCCUAUCUCUCUACUUCAAGAGUGCUUGAGCUACUUCACAUGGAUUUAUUUGGACCAACCACAUAUGCUAGUCUUGGAGGCAACAAAUAUUGCUUGGUCAUAGUUGAUGAUUUCUCCCGGUACACUUAGACAUUCUUCUUGCAAGACAAGGCCGAAGUUGCAUCAAUAUUCAAGAAGUUUGCAAAGAAUGCCCAAAAUCAAUUUGAUGUGAAGAUCAAGAAGAUUAGAAGUGACAAUGGCAAAGAAUUUGACAACACCAACAUUAAAGAGUAUUGUGAUGAAGUGGGAAUCAAGCAUGAGUUCUCCUCAACAUACACACCACAACAAAAUGGGGUUGUAGAAAGAAAGAACCGGACAUUGAUCACCUUGGCAAGAACAAUGCUAGAUGAGUACAACACUUCAGAGAAGAUGUGGGCCGAGGCAAUCAACACCGCAUGCUAUGCUUCAAACCGGCUCUUUCCUCACAAGUUCCUAGAGAAGACACCAUAUGAGUUGCUCAAUGGGAAGAAGCCCGAUGUCUCAUUCUUUAGAGUGUUUGGAUGCAAAUGCUACAUCUACAAGAAGUGCUAACACUUGGGAAAGUUCCAAAGAAUAUGUGACAUUGGCUACUUGGUUGGCUAUUCAUCAAAGUCCAAGGCAUAUAGGGUCUUUAACCAUGCCACAAACAUGGUUGAAGAAACAUUUGAUGUUGAAUUUGAUGAAACUAAUGGCUCCCAAGGAGCAAGUGGUAAUCUUGAUGAUGUAGGUGGUGAACCAUUGAGGGAUGCCAUGAAGAACAUGCCGGUGGGGGAUAUCAAGCCAAAAGAAGAUGAAGAUGAUGUGCAAGUCAUUGAGCCACCAUCCACCUCACAUGGUCCACAAGAUGAAGACAAGGAUGUGAGAGAUGCUCAUGAAGACACUCAAGUCACUCAUGAGCAAGCGAUGGCACAAGCACAAGAUGUUGAUGCUCCCCAACCAACCCCUCAAGUGGCACCAAGAAGAACAUCACAUCUCCUCCAAGAUCACUCUCAAGAUCUCAUCAUCGGGAGUCCAUCACGUGGUGUAACUACUCGUUCUAGACAUGCUUUAUUUAUUGAACAUCACGCUUUUGUGUCUCUUGAAGAUGAACCAAAGACUAUAGAGGAAGCUCUUCGUGAUGCGGAUUGGAUCAUGGCCAUGCAAGAGGAGUUGAACAACUUCUCUCGCAACCAAGUAUGGACACUUGAAGAGCGACCCAAAGAUGCAAGAGUGAUUGGAACAAAGUGGGUCUUCCGGAACAAGAAGGAUGAUCAAGGGAAAGUGGUGCGCAACAAGGCAAGGCUCGUGGCAAAAGGCUUUUCACAAGUGGAAGGUCUUGACUUCGGUGAAACCUUUGCACCGGUGGCAAGACUUGAAGCAAUCCGUAUCCUACUUGCAUAUGCAUCUAGUCAUGAUAUCAAGUUAUUUCAAAUGGAUGUGAAAAGUGCUUUUUUGAAUGGAUAUAUUAAUGAGCUUGUCUAUGUUGAGCAACCCCCCGGUUUUGAAGACCCUAGGUACCCCAAGCAUGUCUACCGGUUGUCUAAGGCUCUCUAUGGUCUCAAGCAAGAUCCUAGAGCUUGGUAUGAGAGGCUUAGGGACUUCCUCAUUGAGAAGGGCUUCAAGAUUGGGAAAGUUGACACAACACUCUUCACCAUGAAAAUGAAUGGGGAAAUCUUCAUUUGCCAAGUUUAUGUUGAUGAUAUUAUUUUUGGCUCUACUAAUGAAGAUUUUUGCAAGGAAUUUGGUGAUUUGAUGUCCAAGGAGUUUGAGAUGUCCAUGAUUGGUGAGCUAUCCUUCUUCCUAGGAUUUCAAGUCAAGCAAAUGAAGGAAGGAGUGCCACUUCCUAGGUAGAUCACUUGUCUCUUGGAUGUCAAAGAAACAAAAUAGUGUUGCCUUGUCAACGGCCGAGGCGGAAUACAUUGCCGCCGGUGCUUGUUGUGCACAAAGACUCUACAUGAAACAAACUUUGCUAGACUAUGAAGUAGUACUAGACAAAGUACCUUUGUUGUGUGACAACAAAAGUGCCGUAAAACUUGCAAACAACCCGGUUCAACACACCCGCACAAAACAUAUUGACAUCCGCCACUACUUCCUUAGGGAUCAUGUUGCUAAAGGUGAUAUAUCUCUAGAGAAUGUGGGAACGGAAAAUCAAUUGGCGGAUAUCUUCACAAAACCCCUAGAUGAAGCUAGGUUUUGUAUGUUAAGAAAUGAACUUAAUGUGCUUGAUCUCUCUAACUUCACUAAAAGAUAAAAGUUAUGUGUUGAAUGUUGUAAAUAACUUUUGCUUUGCAUAUCAUGCAUACUAAAACUAAAAUCCAACUUGCAUGUAGGGCUUGUCUAACAUGGUUAAGAUAACCCCCUUGUGUGUGUGAAAAAGCUUAACCCUGGAUCAAACUUGACAAGCUUUAGUUUACCUUCAAGUAUUGCAUUACAACUCAUAUCAUGUGCAUGCUUGUUAGUUGACCGUUUCUUUUCGGUUAUUCUUUGAGCAUCCGCUGUGUUCGUCCAUAGAUAGGGGGAGCAUUCAAAGCUCAUUGUGAUUCUAACCCCUAGCCUUAUGGCCACAUGAUGCUCCUUGGUGAUUUCUUGAUUUAUUUUCAUAAAAACUACUAAGCCUAUGGCUAAAUAUUUGUGAAAACUUGAGGGUUUGAGAGAAGUCACACAUACCAGUUCCAUUUGGUGUUUAUUUGUGUGUAUUUGAAGAUGGAACUUGGUUGGGUCAAAGUCGGACGUAGUGCUAAGUUGAAAAAGUGCUCAGAGGAGCACCGAACGCUGCACCGGACGCUGUCUCGGUGUGUCCGGUGCGUUGUGAGUGCCAGACUGCACUCACCGGACGUAGGAACAGUAUCCCUGUAGCGUCCGGUGAGGUGCGUCCGGUGCUCACCUGGCGUGUCCUGAAGCACCGGACGCUAAAGCCAGCAUCCGGUGGCCAUCGUCAGGUGCGGUGCCGAUUUGCAAACCUCUCUGCGCAUGAGUCCGGUGGUCACCGAACGUGUCCGGUGCCACAUUAAGAGCGUCCGGUGACCCCGCGGCGGGCGCAUAAAGCCCGUGCCCAGGGGCUUUCGUGGGCGGUUUUCUAAUCAUCUCCAAUCUUCGCCCGAGCCUCCCCCGUGCCCUAACUCCGUGGAUCCGCCGCCACCGUCGUCGUCCUUGAUUCCGGCGGCCCCUAACCUCGCCCUCGUGCCAGAUCCGCCUCCAAAUCAUCUCCUCUCCCUUCUCUUCAUGUGGAUCUCCGAAUCACGCAGAGAUUCUAGGGUUUGGGUAAGUUUCUUGAACCAUGCCCCCAAGGUGCUUGUUCUUAUGUGCAAAAGGAUUCAAUUGAGGUUUUGAUCUUGAUCUCGAUCGUCUCACCCGUGCAGCACUUUAAGGAUUUGAUUCGUGUUCUCCGAAGGAUUCUGAUCGCAUUCUUUAAUCUGGAACGCGUCUCGUCGCCCGAUCGUAAGUCGUUUACGCUCGUUCCUUACCUAAACUUGCGGUCUAUAGGGUUCUCUCAUCUCUAGCUAUUAUGAUUUCUUAUACAUACCCUAUCUUGUCUAUUCUCUGCAGCGCGUUGAUCUCCUUUGUCAGUUGGUUGUUUUUGCCAGCAGUUCGUUCAGUCGUUCUUUCUUGCGAUGGCUCGUUGCAAGAAUGUCAGUGGACCGGCAGCCAGCGCAGGGGGUUCCCCAGGGGGUGAUGGUGGAGGUGAUCCUCCCCGUCACCUGACAGCGGCAGAGAAGGGCAAGGGUAAGAAGCUAGCCACCAAGAAGCGCAAGGUCAGCGACAGAGAGGCAGAGGUGGCCGAGGCAGUUGCAACCGCAGCCGAGGCAGCUGAGAGGGGUGGACGGUCAGGUGCCUUGAGGAUAGGGGCAGAUCUCACGCCCCGUUAGAGGCGUGCAGUACUUGAGGCCGAGGCUCCACAUGGAUCACCUCUAGGCACUAUUAUGCUAGGAGGGCAGCGUGUCAGGAUCAACGUCAGAGAGCCAGCUCAGGAGGAUCCAGACACAGACACAGAGGCAGAGGCCCAGGCCGAGGGUCCAGCAGAGGGACAGGAGCAGGAGCAGCCCCUUAGGAGGUCGACCCGCACUCGUACCCAGGCCACUCCUCGGCCUGGUACGCAGGGCCAGUCUACCUCCGCUGCUCGUGCCACACCAGCCAGAGGCACUCCAGCUUCUCAUCAGAGGCCAGUCAGGAUCCAUAGGGAUCUCACCCUGGUGUCAGCCCGCGAGAUCCAGCAGCUACGCUUUGUCCCCUUUCCUACUUGGUUCCCAGCUGCUAGGGACUCCAGAGCCGGUGCCAGGUUCUACACAGUCGUCCAGGAGGACUUUUACGAGGCACUGGUUCGCUCUCAGUCUCAGUUCAGGGAGCACCGAGUUAUUGAUCUGAGAUACUCGGGAACGUGGAUGGGGCAGAUAUCUGUCAGUACUUCACUUACCUCCCCGGUCUCCCAGAGUUGCUAGCUCUCCCAGGUACUUACUGUGAGCAGUGGGUCAGAGAGUUCUACACGUCAGUGUGGGUUUCUCCGGAUCACAGCUAUAUCCACUAUGCACUGGCAGGGACCGACUACAGGGUCACAACUCAGAGGGCCAGAGAGGUGCUUGGUUUGAGAGCCUACUCCACCAGGAUUCACCAACUGUGCUACGGGAACUUCGAGCCCCCUUGUCGUCCUCAUAGUGGUGAGAUACCACCGGUUGACUUUGUGGCUCCUUGUUUCCGUCCGCCGUUUGGAGAGGGCUCCAGCAGGACAGUGGGAGACUUGACACGCCCCGCCAGGAUCCUCGACUUUGUGUUGAGGAAGACUCUUCUCCCCAGGACAGGUUACAGAGAUGGAUUCAGUCGUAUCCAGCAGUGGCUAGUUGCUCACCUCAUCUCCCAGACGCAGUUUGACUUGUGGGAUCUGAUCGUCUCAGAGAUCGAGGACACUAUCUCAGAGAGUUUUAGGGGGCGGCGUCAGUUGCCGUAUGCACAUUGGAUUACUCUUCUUAUUCUCCGUGCCAGGCCACUACCCCUGCCAGCUCACUUGCAGAGGGAGUUGACAGAGUCAGACACAGUCUUCCCCCACUACGACCCCAGGCAGAUGCUGCGAGCACACCACAACCUCCGAGCUACUCCACCUCCUCGUGCACCACGCGGACCGGUGCCCCCUCCUUCUCCUAGGGGCACUCGCAGUACAGCAGCAGUUCUAGAGACUGAGGAGCAGCAGGACAUAGCCAUUGGGGCUUUCGCAGAUGCAGAGGCAGAGGGAGAGUUUGACUUCGCCUCAGACAGCUCAGAUGAUGACUAUCAGCCGCCAGUAUCAGACCUCCCUCCUAGAGCACACGACCACGAGGCAGGGGGCUCUUCUAGUGCUUCAGACAUAGCUUUGCUUGCUAUCUUAGAGGGUAUGAGGGCAGAUCAGCACCGUGCAGCUGAGGAGCAGGCAAGGAGAGAUAGGGACUAGGCUGCCAUCAAUGCAGCCGUGCAGGCUAGGCAGGAUGAGCUCCAGCGACAAUUUCUCACCUUUCAGGAGCAGCAGCUUGCGUUCAAGGCCCAGCAGACAGCGAUGAUGGCCGCUAUCAUGCCCGCCUCUUGCGUUCUAGGCCCAGCAGACAGCGAUGAUGGCCGCUAUCAUGGCCGCCUUAGGGAUUCAGAUUCCACAGAUUUAGCUUCCAGGCACCUCGACUGUCAGGCCACCCACUCCAGCGCCUCCGACUCAGAGUCAGUCACAGCAGCCUCUCCAGCUACCCGCUCAGAGUCAGCCGUUCUCAACGCCUCAGCACUGUUGACGGUCCUUAAGUAUCAAAUUUAAUUAUCAAAUAAAUAAAGAAAAGGAUCCAAAUGAAAUCAACAUCUAGACUUAGGGUUUUAUCUGAUAGAAUUCCACGAGUUUUGGUGUUUGUCUAUUUCUGCAGGGGGUUAUCAGGAAAUAAGGAAGAAAGGCCCACAUGUCGGGAUUACGUAAAGAUAUUAACGUGCUGCGCAAUUAUCUUACAUCUAGAAGACUCCAGAAGCCACGAGACCGAAGCGGAGGCAAAACAGGACCAGAGGCAGGGCGCCCGCCCUCCUGCCCUGGGCGCCCGCCCCCUCUAGGAGUCCAAUCAGGACUCUGCUUCGCGGGAGAUUUCCACCGACCUAAAGGAUGAAUCUAAACCAUACAAUCUAUGUCGGUUUGAUCCAAUGGCCCAUAUUCACUUGAAGGGACUAUAAAACCAGACCCCCUGGCCCCUGGAGGAGAGAGCCUCUCAACCCUAAUUCAUUGUUCCAUCAAGGGAGAAGAAGCCUCUGAUCAAGAUUAGAGCCACCACAUCAAUUAGAUAUCUAGAUUAGCAUAGCUACAUAGGAUUAGAACUAGAAGGAGUCAAUCUUCGAUUGGUUUCCGGAUCUGUCAAGAGGAUUCUUGGUAAUUCUCUAAUUGUGCUUCUAAUUACUUUCUAAUUAUCUUUGUUCUUCAAUAUUAUGAAUAUGACUUUGUUCUACUUCAAUAUAUUGCUUAUGACUUUGCUCUACUUGCUUAUAUUCAAGAUUAUAUUGUUCUUAGUUUAUCAUAGUUAUGUACUUGGCUUAGUUAGAUUAGAUCUAUAUACAUGCUUAGGAUCGUAUAGCGUUUAUUCAUCGGAUCCAUGGGUAAAUGAUAGAUAUUGUGUAGGCGUGGUGCUUAUACCGUAUUUAUCUGCGAUUGUACCCAAUAUGCCAGAUCGUGGGGUGGUUCGUGAUAGUGACAGCUUCAUUGAUUCUUAUAUAGUCCCCCUCUCGUGUAUUGGGCUGGCAGAGCAACAUUAUUACAGGGGAGUGAUUGCUAUGUUUCUCAUAUUCCUUGCUAAUAUCACUAUGCAUGGGCGUAGUCUUGUCUCACAAUGAUUGCUAAGUAUGCUUGCACUAACUAUGAUAAUGCUAGACUAUAUAGUUGAGAAUAACUUAGGGAAUAUUCUUGUAGUUCGUUCUAAUACCAUGCUAAUGACUUUCUAGAGUAUCUAAUUGAGGUGCUUAUCUGUCGGUGUUUUCCCCACGGGGGGUCACACCAACGAGUGAAUUUGUAUGCGUGCUCCCUUUCCCAGAUGGUGAUGCAAGAAGACACAGAGAUUUAUCCUGGUUCGGGCAAGAGAAGGCCCUACGUCUAGCGGGGGGAGAGAGUUUGUAUUAUCUUGCACCUAAGUGCUUGUACAGGGGCGAAUACAAGCGUGGUAUAGAGUGUGGAGUUCUACUACGAAUGAGCGUUGUGUGUGUGUAAUAUUGCGUGGUGUUGUCUCUCCUGUUCUAUUCCUGAGUCCCUCCUUUUAUAGUUCCAAGGAGAGACCUAGGGUACAUGUAUAGGCGUCAGAAUAGGAGUCGAUAGCAGCAUGGAGCGCUGACCUACUCGAGGCUUCCGUACCGGCAUGGCCUCGAGCCGUCCCGUCUUGAUAGCCUGGUGAUGAUUACGCGUGCCCCUGCAUUCUGCUCUGCGCGCCGUCUUGUGUUGGUUCAACGGUCGCACGCUCGUACGGCAUGGCGGCAGAUCCGGCGGGGUGGUUGCGGUGUUGUCAGUCGACGUCCAACUCGUCCCCAGGAAGGAAUCCCGUUCGGUCGAGGGUCGGACGCCGUGUAACGUGGUGAUGUCCGGAGCGCUGACCUUGAAUGUCUCGAGGGGGUCCCGAUUAGACGUCCCAUCCUUGUUUCCCGCAUCCUGAUAUGCCCUGGGUCGUUCGACGGGAAGGCUGCAAAAAGGUCGAUGGGACGGAUGCCUGUUCCCUAUCACGCCUCCCAUGACCUGUGUGUUAGGUGGGGAAGCGUCAGACACAUUUAAUGCCCCGACUCGCGUGCGCGCGUCAGGCGGCGGGCGGCGUCCUUGCGCUCGACGCCUCCCGGUUCGCGUGAGCCUGUUCCGUAUUCGACGGUAACCAGCGCUCGACGCCUGACCGAUUCGCUCGACGCUAUUUUCGUCUUCGAGGUUGCGGUCGUCGAUGGCAGCGCACGCGUAAGACUAGAGCGUCGAAUUGAGGGCCUCGACCUGCGUACGGGCAAUCUCGUAAUGCGCAUCGGUGAGGGUACCCCUUACUGAUACCCUCGACAGUAGCCCCCGAGCCUCCAUUUGAGCGCUUGCGCUCGAGUGGAGGCUUUGUUUUGCGAUCGAAUUUUCAUGGGGGCGCGCGAGCGACCCCGCGGGGGUAGCCCCCGAGCCCUCGGAGGAGUUUUUGACUCCUUCGAGGGCUAUGCUGUCUAAUUCGCAGAAGCGCUUUCGACACCAGUGGUGGAAGGUUCUGACUGGCUCAUUUUUUUUUGGGGUUUCGACGUACUCUCGAUAGAGAGAGCGUCUUCCACCCCAUAUUGAGUUUCUAGCGGGUAAUCCAAGUGAGAACCUGUGCCCCUUUCGAGGGGGUCAGCUGUAGCCCGGAGGCGUUCUCAUAAAGCGGGAUCGACGUGGUCGGGGAUACCAGUCUCAUUCGAUAGAGUCCGGCGGCUCGAUGCCUCCCGUCGGGGGGAUUCCUCUCGACUGUCUCGACCCUACCUUGGAUAUUGCCAGCGAGUCCUCGAGGCGGGCCUCGAUCUUCGACCGCUCGCUGGGGAUCCCUGACUCUGGCGCUCGAGAUCGGCUGUCGAACCCUUUCGGCGGGCCAGCCAUCGACCUCUCGAGACUCUCGCGGGUACACCCCUUGGCUUUCUAGGGAAGGAAGUGGCCGUGCCGGUUCGCCUUUCUGCCCGUUGGGCGCGCCUUUUCAGGUGGGUGACGUUACGACACUGCGUCGGCGUGGAAUUCGGAGCGCCCCGCCUGUGUGGGGAAAGAGACGGUUAGGUGGCGCAUUUAAGGGAGAGAGUUACCUUAUUUCUUGGAUCUGUCCGUUGGCGGAUCGUGGCUUAUAAAUACGCCGCGGCGGACGCCGUUCUUUCUUCCACCUCCCAUCUUCACUCUUGCCUUAGCCUUCUUGCCGUCUUAGCUCUCUCGCCGUCUCACGCGCACACGCCUCCUCUAGCAGUAGCGGAUCCACCGUCCCUCCAGCCGAGAUGCCUGUAAGACUCGUCGCCGCCGACGACUGGCGCCCGUCGUCGAUGACGGAGCGCCGGUUGUUAGAUCUUGAGAAAGAGGGACUGCUGUGCCGCCGUAUCUCGCUAUCGUCACCAGUGUGGAUCGUGCCGCCGGCGAGUCACAGGGAGCCCCAGCCGCCCGAGCGCUACGUGGUGUCGUUCGCCAAGUUCCACCGCCACGGCCUGGGCGCGCCCCCGAGCCGCUUCAUGCGGGCCCUCUGCUUCCACUAUGGGGUGGAGCUCCAACACUUCUCCCCGAACGCCAUCACCAUCGCGGCGGUCUUCGCCGCCGUGUGUGAGGGCUACUUGGGGAUGAUGCCGCACUGGGAGCUGAGGCUCCACCUCUACAGGGGCGAGCUUUUCCACGCCCCCACCGGAACCACGGGCGUAAGGAAGCCCGUACAGGAGGGAUGCCUCAAUCUUGUGCAGAAGACGGGGAAGACGGACAGGCCGCGGGAGUACAUCCCGGUAGGGUUAUCGACCAACCACGCCGGCUGGGACUCCCAGUGGUUUUACCUGCGGAAUGACGACAACCUCCUGCCUUCCUACUCGGGCCGUCUGAUCAUGGAGCGUCCAGCGGACUGGACAUACGGCGUCGUCCAAGCUCAUCAACCUCGGCUCGACCCCCUCCUUGACGCCCUGAAGAAGCUUCGCCAGGAGGGUUUGACCGCCACUCUCGUCCUCUCGGCCGUCCAUCACCGGAGAGUUCUCCCAUUGAUGUCUCGACCGUUGAGGAUGGACGAGAUGGGCCCUGGCUUCUCAUCUCAGGACCUCGAGGCGUGCCGGAUGUCCAACGAGGCUCCGACGGAUGACGAAGUCGCGGCCUGAGUCAGGGCUGCAAUUGCCGGUGAUUUUCAGUCGGAGCAUGUUAACGGCUUCCCCAUGAGGCCGGAUGCAGGCUCGAUCGAUCUGGUACGCUUUCUUCUCGUGCACAGCCUCGAUUCUAGGUUUCCUUUCUUCCCCCCUUUUUUUUCUAAGUCUGUCUUUGUUUUGGCAGGGAUGGAUUGAUGUCCGGUCCUCGAGGCCUCCGGUAAAGGAGGACGAGGUCGAUCGCGACAAACGGCGCCAGUCUGCCGAAAAGCUAAAGUCCGCCAAGGACUCUGCAAAGAAGGGGGAGAAGAAGAAGAACCUCGACCACCAAGCAUUAGAGGCGCCUCGAGCCAAAUCCAGGCAGAGGGGGGAGCCUGAGGAAGAAUCCCCCAACGACGACGAUGAUGAUGACGAGGACAGCGACGACUCUGAGGGGAUGGCGUCGCACCUUGACCGAAUCCUCGAGGGUCUGCCUCGAGGCGACGUCGACGCCCCCCGAACAGAGAAUCCCAAGGAGGGUCCGAGCGGAUCUCACUGCUCUCGGGCCGACACCCCUCCUGCGCCCAAGGUUGGUCAAGUUGCGCCGCGACCUCCCCCGGCGCCCAGGGAGAGCGGUCAUGCUAGGCCCCAGGCGACGGGGCCACUGACUCGCGGUCGCGCCGCGGCCUCCGAGAAAGGAGAGGCCGGCCGUAGGAGCGCCAGUCCCGGCGCCCGCUGUUGGGUAUUCUUAACAUCAUUACUAAAAGUAGACUAAGUUCUCUAAAUCUAGUAACGGUGCCAAAAAUGCCAAACCUAUCCCUUACACCACUUAAGCCAAGUUGUCAUCCCCAGCAUGAUAUAAGAGACGCGGUAUUGAAAUAUGCAAUUGCUCUUCUAAAUAAAUAAUGAAUGGGAUCUGCAAGCGCACAGAUUAAUACCGAUGUAGCAUUUUAACCGGGAAGUAUUCCAGGUAUCGUUAUUUAUAUUUUUACCACUGGGAAGGGAUUAGAAAUCAUCACUAAUGAUUACAGAAUAGAAUAUGAGAUUGAGCAUCUAUCAUUGCAUGUAUAAUUGAGAACAUUAUAUCUAACUCAUCAUACAGGGAUAAGUGUCACAUAAAAGAUAUAGGAAAUAAUAAUAGUGACAAGGAUAACUAAUCUGAUCUAGCCACAUAAUAAAUAUGAUAAGCACCCCAAUUAGAUACUCUAGAAAGUCAUUAGCAUGGUAUUAGAACGAACUACAAGAAUAUUUCCUAAGUUAUUCUUAACUAUAUAGUCUAGCAUAUCAUAGUUAGUGCAAGCAUACUUAGCAAUCAUUGUGAGACAAGACUACGCCCAUGCAUAGUGAUAUUAGCAAGGAAUAUGAGAAACAUAGCAAUCACUCCCCUGUAAUAAUGUUGCUCUGCCAGCCCAAUACACGAGAGGGGGACUAUAUAAGAAUCAAUGAAGCUGUCACUAUCACGAACCACCCCACGAUCUGGCAUAUUGGGUACAAUCGCAGAUAAAUACGGUAUAAGCACCACGCCUACACAAUAUCUAUCAUUUACCCAUGGAUCCGAUGGAUAAACGCUAUACGAUCCUAAGCAUGUAUAUAGAUCAUAUCUAACUAAGCCAAGUACAUAACUAUGAUAAACUAAGAACAAUAUAAUCUUGAAUAUGAGCAAAUAGAGCAAAGUCAUAACCAAUAUAUUGAAGUAGAACAAAGUCACAUUCAUAAUAUUGAAGAACAAAGAUAAUUAGAAAGUAAUUAGAAACACAAUUAGAGAAUUACCAAGAAUCCUCCUGACAGAUCCGGAAACCAAUCGACGAUUGACUCCUUCUAGUUCUAAUCCUAUGUAGCUAUGCUAAUCUAGAUAUCUAAUUGAUGUUGUGGCUCUAAUCUUGAUCAGAGGCUUCUUCUCCCUUGAUGGAACAAUGAAUUAGGGUUGAGAGGCUCUCUCCUCCAGGGGCCAGGGGGUCUGGUUUUAUAGUCCCUUCAAGUGAAUAUGGGCCCUUGGAUCAAACCGACAUAGAUUGUAUGGUUUAGAUUCAUCCUUUAGGUCGGUGGAGACUUCCCACAAAGCAGAGUCCUGAUUGGACUUGGACAGGGGGCGGGCGCCCAGUAGGACAGGGCGGGCACCCUGCCUCUGGCCCCGUUUCGCCUCCGCUUCGGUCUCGUGGCUUCUGGAGUCUUCUAGAUGUAAGAUAAUUGCGCAGCACGUUAAUAUCUUUACGUAAUCCUGACAUGUGGGCCUUUCUUUCAUAUUUCCUGAGAACCCCCUGCAGAAAUAGACAAACACCAAAACUCGUGGAAUUCUGUCAGAUAAAACCCUAAGUCUAGAUCUUGAUUUCAUUUGGAUCCUUUUCUUUAUUUAUUUGAUAAUUAAAUUUGAUACUUAAGGACCGUCAACAAACUCCCCCAAGCUUACCUCUUGCUCGUCCCUGAGCAAGGAUAGACUCAGCUAUGGAUCAGAAGUUGCUGCAAUAUUUUUUUAAAAAUUGGCGGUACACAUGCUUUUAAAUAAGAUCUCAUCUCUGAGUUAGAGUAAACUGUCAAGACUUAAAACUUACUUACUUUACCUCCACCAUGGGACUUGUAACUGUCACUUCUGUCUUGAGUGGUUAAAAGAUAGAACAGUCUAGCCAAGUGCCAUGUCUCUUAUUCUUGAUCAGCUAUAGCUCUGGGAUUCUUGCAGAUUUUCAAAUAAAACUCAGAGAUUCCUUGUAUGAUUCUCUCAGGUCUCUCUUUUGUGGUAUUUUUGGAUCCUUACCAAGGCAUUGAUGGUAUAUGCCUUCUCUCAAGAUAUGUGGUAUUUGUGGUAUGAGGCAUAGUGACAUUGCCUUCUCUCUCAUCCUACUCUAAUAAGGCUUUAAUAUCUCGAGCUCAUAGGUGGGAGAUAAAAUAUACAUACUUACAAGACAUUUAUUGCAUAGUCAAACCAUGGAUCCAAAGUAACAAGUCAAUAAGCCAAAUCAAGAUGUGCAUGUGUGGCGAAUGAAUGGUAUAUGGUGAUGAUGGUGAUAACAAUGGUGAAAACAAUGGUGGUGGAAGUCUAAUUCUACUUUGCUCUUUUGAGGGGAUACAUACCUUCCUUGCUUUUGAAACUUUAUGAGGAGAAUGAGAUGCUCUUCUUUUUCUUUUCUCUCAGGUGGGUAUCUUGCACCCCUAAUUCUACUGUCGGACACUUGUCCAUUUUUACCUCUCGUCUCACUUUUUCUUUUCUUUCGAGGUUCCGAGCACUUGCUCCUUUUUAUUUCCUCGUAUUAUUUUCUCUUUUUUUUAGAGCACUCAUCUCUUGAGAUAAUAUAGCAAGUGGUAGUAACAAGAUAUCUUGAGCAUUUAUUUUACAAGGGGAAAACAGAAAAUAUUUUUGGUUAUUCUCUCCCGGAUUAGGAGUAGAAUAUUUUUGGGUGAUUCUGGAGAUGGAAUGGGUGGAUAUAUGUGGAUGGUACUUCCGGAAUAGAAGUAGCAUAUAUGAGUGAACGUGUAAGUGAAAUCUUGAUUUAACCACAUGACAAGCUCCUAAGGGUCUACACAGCUUGACCACACUCAAUGCUCAUAAGCAGUAAAUAAUAAAUGUGUGGCUCAAAGUCUAGCAAGCAUGUAUAUAUGGCUGUGGUAGGAAUUUUAAGCUCUCAUCAUACAGGAACUCAUCAUGCAACAUUUUAAAGAUUUUCAAAGAUAAAAUUCUCCAGGAUUCUAGCAUCUCUAGGAACAGAUAAACAGCAGCUCAACCUUCCCAUAUCGUAUCCGUUAACAACUUAGACUUCAGAUCAAGUUUUUAUCCCACAAGUUUAGGUCUAGAGCAAGCUUUAAAUUAUAACAGUUAUAUCUAAACUUGAGAGAGAACUUAAAAUUUGCAAAUUAGGCAGAGCAACUAUUUAUCAUAUCCAUGCUUAAGUUUUAUUUAGAUACAGAUUAGCAUAGCCACUUUAUUUAUUUAUUAAACACACUAAGCAAAAGACAUAUAUAAGCAUAAAAUCUUUAUUUGGUUUUUCCAUAGUUAUGUAUUUUAAUAUUCUAAAAUAAUAUAAGUAUAAAGAUAGAUAAAAAUACUUAUCGGAAUAAAUGGGGGUGCUCUCCCCCAAGCUGAAUUUUGACGUAAUUUCUCUUGAUGUAACUAGCAGGUGGCAGAGGUGUACUUGAAAGUCAGCAGCAUUCUGACAGCGAUUAGAAUGUCCUCCGUCUGCUAGUCUUCUUGAAUUCUGUGGAGCUCAAAUAGACAACAAAGCUUGUGGAACUAAUUAAGUGUUAGCAUAAAUAUAUAGCCUUCAUCAUCUUGAGACUCCUUAAUAAUUAUUACUCCCUGUUUUUAUAUUUUUAUUUUAUAAAGCAGAAAAAUAUUUAUUUUAUUUUUAUGCCACCACAGUGAAUGUAUGUAUGGGUUUUAUGCCACUCGUAUACUCACAUGGGGCUUACUGUUUUUCAUAUUUUUAUUUUCUUUUUAGGAUACCAUGAACAUGUUUAACUAAAUAAACUAUUUGAAGUAACUGAAAGAAAGGAUAACUACCAAGUUUACCUCUUGGCAAGGCGUUCAGUGUUUUUAAGUCCUCCGAACGGGACUCUCCAAUUUCUUAAUCGUCCUGAGGUUCGUUGGGUGGCGUAGUCGGUAUUUCCGGCAGCGCCUCCUCUUAUUGUAUAGUUAUCUUCAUUUUCCAUACCUGACUCGGUGCUUCAAUCUCCUCUGGAUAAUUCUGUUUAAACUCUACGUCUUCUGACCUUACAACUUCUCCUUCAUAGUCUGCCCAUCCGUCCUUGAUGAUCUGCCUUCUCUGGUUGCGGUUGCGUCUCUUUCUGACCUGCUUAGAUUCUUCAACGAUAUAGUCAGGGUCAGUAAAAUAACGGCGUACCUUCUCUGAGGGGAAGUGCAUAUGGACUUCUCCGGUUCCAAUGUAGAUAAUUGCUUUAACGGUGCUGAGGAACGGCCUUCCAAGGAUGAUGGGUGGAUCAUACUCGUCUUCUCCCAUGUCAACAACUUGAAAGUCUGUGUAGACAAAGUGAUCGUCUAUUUUGACUGGAACAUCAGAUACUAUUCCUUGAACUUCUCGAAAUGUCUGAUCUGCCAUCUGGAGCUGAAUGUAUGUUGGUCUUAGUGGCAUGGUCCCGAACAAGAGCCGAUAGGUGACUGCGGCCAUUAUGUUGACGCCUGAUCCGGUGUCGCAAAUCGUCUUGUAGAAGUUAUAUCCAUUUAUGGAGCAGUAAAUGCUUGGCAUUCCUGGGUCGUCCUUCUUGGUCAAAAACGGUGACUUCAGUUGGUGAUCUUGGCCUCCAUGGACUACAGUGACCAUCUUAGCUGACUCGGUCCACACUUGCUUGUUCCUGUUCCUCCUGUUGGUCCUCUUCCUUGAUUCACGUCUGGAUUGAUUUGGAAUUUGUGUAGUCUUGUUCUUGAAGAAAAAUGUCUCCUUCUUCCCUUUGAUGUAGAAACUGAUCUUAGCAGCACUGGCGUAGAUGAUAGCUCCCGUGGUGUUCAAGAAUGGCCUCCCUAAGAUGAUAGGUGCUCUCUCAUCAUUUCCGGUCUCUACCACUACGAAGUCUGCUAGUGCAUACAAGGUACCAACUCGGACACAAAGGUUCCUCACUAUUCCUUUUGGAAAAGUUAUCGUCUGAUCUGCAAACUGCAAACACAUGGUUGUCUCUAAUAAAGGAUAUGUAAAGAAUUUUUCAUAGAGUACCCUAGGUAUAAUGUUGACGCUAGAGCCAAAGUCACAGAGUGCUUCUGGGAAGUCCACCAUGCCGAUGGAGAACGGGAUGACGGGGCGUCCUGGAUCGCCUCUCUUGACCGGCAGACGGUCAGUAGAAAAUUUAGUGACGGGGUUACUCCAAUUACCUGCAUCAAACAUGUCUACAAGAUUUGCAGAUUCUAAUCCUUCCGGUUGUGAUGGUAUACCGGGGUUAGUAGUAGGAACAGCAGCAGCUAUUUGAUUUAACUGAGAUUCAAUCAUCUUAUUAAAGCUAAUUUGAUUCUUGAUGGCAGUAGAAAAAUUAUCCAUUCAAUUAUUUAUAUUUUCUAGUAUUUUAUCAUUAGAUGCCAAUUUCUUAGAUAGAUUAUCCAUUAGCUUGCCUUGAUUAGACACUAACUCUCUCAAAGGUGGAAAAUUAUUAUUGUUGUAAGAAUUGUUACCUUGAUAAUUACCUGAGUAGUUAGGCCUCUGUUGAUUCCAACCUUGAUUUUGUUGAGGACGGUUGUAGUAGUAGUUGUUGUUGUUGAUGUAGUUCACAUCCUCAAGUAUCUCAGGGCAGUGGUUGCCUGAGUGUCCAGUGUCUCCACACUCCUCACAAGUCAUGUGAGAGUCGUAGAUGUGCAUAACUUCUUUCUUGUCUCCAGCUCUAUCAUCGAGCUUCUUCAUGAGCAGGUCUAGCUUUGCAGACAGCAUGUCUACCUCCUUCAGCUGAUGCAUACCUCCACCUCUCUUGCGUGUCGGGGUCCUCUCUUCAUUCCAGCUUUGGUUGGACGCCAUCUUCUCCACAAGAGCUGUGGCUUGUGGUAUAGUAUGUGAUAAGAAUGCUCCUCCAGCUGCAGCAUCCAUGGUCUCUCGGGCACUGUUGCUGAGCCCAUGAUAAAACGUUUGCAUCAAUAGCCAACUCUCCAUUCCAUGAUGGGGACAUUCUAGGAUGUAGUCUUGAAAGCGCUCCCAUGCUUCUGGAACAGAUUCAUCAUUUUGUUGCUGAAAACUUGUAAUCUUCCCACGGAGAGCAUUGGUCUUGCCCAUGGGAAAGAACUUAGCCAGGAAGUUUGUUGAGCAGAGUGCCCACGUAGUAUUCGUCUCCUUUGUAGCAUAGAACCACUGCUUCACUCUUCCUAACAGUGAGAAUGGGAAGAGGCGAAGUAGUAUAGCGUCUUUAUAAACUCCUGCUAUGGUGAAUGUGUUGCAAAUCUCAGGAAGUGUUGUAAAUGAGCACUAGCAUCUUCGUGUGCCUUCCCACAGAACUGGUUGGAUUGCACCAUGUUGAUAAGUCCAGGCUUGAGCUCAAAGUUGCCAUCGAUCUCUACAGCAGGUCCAGUGCGGAUGUUGUCCGUAGUGGGAGCUAAGAACUCGCGGAUUGAUUUGUUCGCCAUGGCUUCGAACUCUGAAGACAAGUUCCGGUGAUCUUCUUGAUUGGAUGAAGCUUCUUGCUGAAGUGUUGAUGAUUUCUUUAGCUUGGCUCUCGUCUUCUUGAAUAAUGCUUCAGGAUUGUCAACAAAAUUCCCUGGAAGAUGUCUUCUAUUCAUACAUUCCCCUGCAUAAGAUAAAAUAGAAAAAUAUCGGGGUAAAACUGUAUGAGAGAAUAGAUAAGCUCAAUCAUAUUAGUGAUGCGAAUGAUUACUCUAAAUCUUUUAUUCUAUUCCUGAUUAGUAAUCAACCUUCCCCGGCAACGGCGCCAAAAAUGCUUGUUGGGUAUUCUUAACAUCAUUACUAAAAGUAGACUAAGUUCUCUAAAUCUAGUAACGGUGCCAAAAAUGCCAAACCUAUCCCUUACACCACUGAAGCCAAGUUGUCAUCCCCAGCAUGAUAUAAGAGACGCGGUAUUGAAAUAUGCAAUUGCUCUUCUAAAUAAAUAAUGAAUGGGAUCUGCAAGCGCACAGAUUAAUACCGAUGUAGCAUUUUAACCGGGAAGUAUUCCAGGUAUCGUUAUUUAUAUUUUUACCACUGGGAAGGGAUUAGAAAUCAUCACUAAUGAUUACAGAAUAGAAUAUGAGAUUGAGCAUCUAUCAUUGCAUGUAUAAUUGAGAACAUUAUAUCUAACUCAUCAUACAGGGAUAAGUGUCACAUAAAAGAUAUAGGAAAUAAUAAUAGUGACAAGGAUAACUAAUCUGAUCUAGCCACAUAAUAAAUAUGAUAAGCACCUCAAUUAGAUACUCUAGAAAGUCAUUAGCAUGGUAUUAGAACGAACUACAAGAAUAUUCCCUAAGUUAUUCUUAACUAUAUAGUCUAGCAUAUCAUAGUUAGUGCAAGCAUACUUAGCAAUCAUUGUGAGACAAGACUACACGCCCAUGCAUAGUGAUAUUAGCAAGGAAUAUGAGAAACAUAGCAAUCACUCCCCUGUAAUAAUGUCGCUCUGCCAGCCCAAUACACGAGAGGGGGACUAUAUAAGAAUCAAUGAAGCUGUCACUAUCACGAACCACCCCACGAUCUGGCAUAUUGGGUACAAUCGCAGAUAAAUACGGUAUAAGCACCACGCCUACACAAUAUCUAUCAUUUACCCAUGGAUCCGAUGGAUAAACGCUAUACGAUCCUAAGCAUGUAUAUAGAUCAUAUCUAACUAAGCCAAGUACAUAACUAUGAUAAACUAAGAACAAUAUAAUCUUGAAUAUGAGCAAAUAGAGCAAAGUCAUAACCAAUAUAUUGAAGUAGAACAAAGUCACAUUCAUAAUAUUGAAGAACAAAGAUAAUUAGAAAGUAAUUAGAAACACAAUUAGAGAAUUACCAAGAAUCCUCCUGACAGAUCCGGAAACCAAUCGAAGAUUGACUCCUUCUAGUUCUAAUCCUAUGUAGCUAUGCUAAUCUAGAUAUCUAAUUGAUGUUGUGGCUCUAAUCUUGAUCAGAGGCUUCUUCUCCCUUGAUGGAACAAUGAAUUAGGGUUGAGAGGCUCUCUCCUCCAGGGGCCAGGGGGUCUGGUUUUAUAGUCCCUUCAAGUGAAUAUGGGCCCUUGGAUCAAACCGACAUAGAUUGUAUGGUUUAGAUUCAUCCUUUAGGUCGGUGGAGACUUCCCACAAAGCAGAGUCCUGAUUGGACUUGGACAGGGGGCGGGCGCCCAGUAGGACAGGGCGGGCACCCUGCCUCUGGCCCCGUUUCGCCUCCGCUUCGGUCUCGUGGCUUCUGGAGUCUUCUAGAUGUAAGAUAAUUGCGCAGCACGUUAAUAUCUUUACGUAAUCCUGACAUGUGGGCCUUUCUUUCAUAUUUCCUGAUAACCCCCUGCAGAAAUAGACAAACACCAAAACUCGUGGAAUUCUGUCAGAUAAAACCCUAAGUCUAGAUCUUGAUUUCAUUUGGAUCCUUUUCUUUAUUUAUUUGAUAAUUAAAUUUGAUACUUAAGGACCGUCAACACCCGCCAGGCGGGAACUCACACGCCUAGGCCCACGCCUGCCCUUGAGGGGCCUGGAGCCCUGACAAGGGGUGGCUCGAGGCCCACCGGUCGGGGCGGCGGGAGGCGAGCUGUUCUCCCUGUGGGGUAAGCCUUUUCGAUGUUGUGGCUUUUGUCUUCCUGCUCCUCUGCAUUUCCUCAUAUGCCGAUCUUUUCUCAGGCUAAAGUGGACCCUCGAGCAGGCCCAGCCGUCCAUGGCAAAGAGGCUCAAAACGGGAGCUGCCUCCAAGGAACCAGGUUCGUAGUUUAUUUUGAGGUUUUUGUGAUGUUCUUGUGUCGGUUACUAUAGCGUCUGACCUUUACCCUUUGCUUUGUAGGCUCCUCCGACUCCCAACCUCCAGCCGGCGUCGAGAUUGCUCCGCCUUGUCCCGUGCCUACCCCGUCGCCGCCGACUUGUGGUGAGGCGCCCCAGACGCAAGCGUCAGAAGGAGCCCCCGAGCCCCCUCAAUUGGGGGUCGAGGGGGAACCCAUCACCAUUAGCGAUACGUCUGAUGGUAACGAAGCGUCUGGUGGUGCCCGCCCUAUGGAGGAGGAAACGUCGACCUCCCCCAUCGCGGGACGGACUCCCUGGCCUGCUAGCCUUCGAGCCCUCGAGGAACAGAAGGAGAAAGAGAAAGAGGGGGAGAAACGGGAGCUCGAGGCGACGCGGCCGCCACAGGAGCAGCAAUAUCAGUAGGGGGAGCAGCAGCAGCAGGAGCAGCAACAGCAGCAGCAGCAGGAGCUGCAAAUGCCCGAGGGGCAGCAACAGCAGCAGCAACAGCAGCUGCAGCAGGAGCAAGGGGGCCAAGAGGAAAGGUCGCUCGAGCCCCUGCCUCAAGGUCCGGCCCAACCAGUACCGCCGGCGCCGCAAGAGUCCGGCGAUCAGGGGGAAAAUUUGUCGGUGUACGGCCCUCCCACCCCAGCGUGGCUCCUCCCGGGAGCUCCUGCCGCGAUCCGGGCAGAGUUGGGGCGAACGGACGGAGUGGUGGUGCUCGCCUGUAUGAUGCACACCCCCACCGACCCUGAGUCUGAGAUCAAGAGGACAAUCUAUGGCAUGGACGGGAUCGCGCCAGGGUUCCUCCGAGAGCGUCGGGCGUGGGAGGACCACUUUCCCUCUGAGGAGGAUGAGAUUGGGACGUCGGGGACCAAGGACGGUACCUGGAAGACGGUGGACGACGAUGGGCAGUUCCCAUGCCUCGUCGACCUGUUCCUGCGCCAUGGGGGUUCCCUCGAGACCGUCGAAGACCUCAUCCACGGCGUCAAGGCGCGGGCCGACCGGGAGAUGGAGCAUUGGUGCCCCGAUCGGAUCCGCAUCUGGGCUUCCACCGACCCGUCCGAGCCUAAUAUCUUCCUAGACGAUAGGAAGGAGGCGGAGAAGUGGGAACACGUCAAGGAGCUCCGCCUUUGGAUGAAGCAUGUGGUGGGGCUCCUGGCCGACGUUAUCAACAACGGGCUCGGGCCGGCUUAUUUUAUAAGUGUUUUUCGAUCUUCAAUCUCCACGGAACCUUUUGGUCUUGUGUUCUAACCGUUUGAUCCCUUGUUCGUAGGAUAUGAAAGAGACCUCCCGCAUCAAGUCCAGUUUCAUUCACGCCACGAGGGGCGGCUGGGAGCAGCUCCCCGUCCUCAAGGAUCAACUCCUCGAGUCACAGGAGAAACUCCUUAAGGCCUAUAAAGAUCUCAUAGCGCUCGGGGAGGAGAAGAAGGCGAGUGAGGUUGCCUUGGCGGAGGCUCGAGAGGCCUCGAAAAAGGCGGAGGAGGAGACGACGCUGCUGCGGGAGCGGGCUCUGACGGUCGAGGAGGCUGCAUCCAGAGCCCGGGAGGAGGCCCUGUCCUACAAGAACGUUAUUGCGGAUCUGGACAAGGAGAAGGGCCUUCUCAAUACCGACCUGGACUCCCUCCGUGAUUCCUUCCAGAAGAUGAAGGUGGCGUAUGUGGAUAGUGAGGUCGCCAGGAGUACUGCCGAGGACGUAAAGAAGAAGGCCCUCGAAGACCUCGAGGCGGAGCAGGCUCGAUCCCGCAGUCUCUCUGACGACGUUGAGCGUCUGAAGGGAGAAUUGCUGGAGAAGAGCGGGGCCAUUGCUCAGGCUGGCAAGGUGAUCGAAGAUCUCCGCGUUGCCAAUACUGAGCUGGCGCGCUCCAACAGAGAGAUCGAGAGGGCCAACACCAGAUUGGUCGGUGAGAACACGGCCCUGGAGGAGAGUGUUCGAGGUAAGUUUCCUUUGCCGGGUUACUUUUUCGAGGUGUGCUGGGCUUUUUUCCUAAAGCUUCUUGUAUUGGCAUUUACAGGGCUUAAGGACGAACUCCUAGCCGCUCAAGUCGAGGCCCGUAAUGCUAAGGCCCAGCUCGAGGCGGAGGUUGCCUUGAACCGUCGCGUGCGGACGGCGAUAAGCGACCUCUCGACCUCUUGGGAGGUCGAGCCUAUGGACGAGUCGAGGGAGGGAGCUCGAGGCGACGCACUGGUGUUGACGGUCCUUAAUGCUCACAUUUAACCAUCAACUAAUCAUGGAAAAGGAUCCAAAUGCAACCAACACCUAGACUUAGGGUUUUAUCUGACAGAAUUCGACGAGUUUUGGUGUUUAUCUAUUUCUGCAGGGGGUUAUCAGGAAAUAUGGAAGAAAGGCCCACAUGUCGGGAUUACGUAGAGAUAUUAACGUGCCGCGCAAUUUUCUACCAUCUAGAAGACUCUAGAUGCCACGGGAACGAACGGGAAGGCGAUCGGGCUCGGAGGCAGGGCGCCCGCCCUACUCUCCUGGGCGCCCGCCCUGCUACAGUGCCCAAUCAGGGUCAACUUCGCGGAUCAUGCUCCACCGACUCUAAGGAUCAAGGAAAAUCACGCGAUUAAGGUCGGUUUGAUCGGAUGGUGGAGAAUAACGUGGAAAUUCCUUGGGAGCUACUCUUCCUAGAUUUCUUGGGAGCUACUCUUCCUAGAUUUCUUGGGGGCUACUCUUCCUGGACUAGGGUUUCAAUUCUUCAUCCAAGUAGAGAGGAUCCCUCUAGUUCUUCUAGUUCUAGUUCCUCUAGUUCUAGUUCUAGUUAGUUCUAGUUGUAAUCUAGAAAAUAGGGAGAGAGAAGAGGAGAGCGGAGGAGGAGCCAGAUCUGUCGGAUCUUCCUCAACAUUGUACUUUUGCAGCAACUGGUUCGUUCUUCAUCGUUCUCCAGGUUCUUCAAUUCAUAAUCCUGAGUUCUUUAAUUACUUUUAUUUACAUUCAAGUUAUUUAUUGGAUUCCCGCUUGCAUCAAGUGCUCUAAUCUUUGCAACAUUAGAGUAGUAAUUAAUAGAUUAGACGUGGUGUUUAGUCUUGCAAUUACCUGGAAUUGUACCCAAUCCUGCGGAUUGUUGUGGUAGCCUUAGGGUAGUGACAGCCCUAAUGGUCGACGUAUUCCACCUCGUUCGGAUCGGUGUUUGUAGGACCGUAGUCAGACCUUCCUAGCCCCCUUCUCAUCUCUUUCUGUGGUUAGUGCUCUGAUGUCCCGAUAUAGAUAAUCUUGAAGUAAUUCUUGAUUCUUAGAUCAACUAGAGAACUCUCAGGAAACUUCCUCUCUUUCCACCAAAAAUAAUUAUAUAGUUAUCCUUGCGCGAUCUUGGAUCUUAAUUAGUACACUCACGUUCUCUGUGGAAAAUCGAUACUCUGGAAUACUCCCGGGUGAAAGCUACAUCGGUAUCCAUGCGCUUGCGGAUUUUUCUGUUUGCGUUUAAAAUACCCAACAAGCUUUCUGGCGCCGUUGCCGGGGAACGGUAGCUGUGCUAGUUUCGAACCAAGUCGUCCGUGUAUCCUUUUUCUUUUCCUUUUUACCACACUCACCUUACCAUUUUCACCACACCACAUGGAUUUCACUCCUAUUUAUAAAUUCUUUGCUCCAAAGGGCGAGUUAUUAGAGCCACCACCAUCAUCACAUCCAAUUCUUACAGAUGGCUACGACCUCGGCCCUGAUCUAAUAGCCAUGAUUCAGGAGCAACCCUUCUCUGGGCAAGUAGAUGAAGAUCCAUACACCCACCUUAGAGAAUUCGAGCAGUUGUGCUCUUGCCGAUCUAUUUCCGGCAUGACACAAGAAACCCUUAAAUGGAAAUUAUUUCCGUUCUCCCUUUUGGGAAGAGCAAAAAAGUGGUAUGCUCAUUCUGUAGGGAGCGUUAAUGCAAAUUGGGAUGAACUUCGGGACAACUUUUGUCUCGCUUUCUUCCCACUUUUUCGAAUUGCUGACCUUAGAAUCGAAAUUCUUACAUUCAAACAAAGAGAGAAGGAAACUUUAGGAGCAGCUUGGGCUAGGUUCACAAGCCUUACCAAUUCCGGUCCAAACCUUUCCCUGCCUGACCAUGUACUGUACUACGACUUUUAUCGUGGUCUAAGCAAGGAAGCUGCUCUUCACCUCGACAUUGCUUCAGGAGGCUCAUUCACACACAAGCUCACAGAUGAGGGGAGAGCUAUCCUAGAGAAAAUCCUUGAAAAUACACCUUACACAGGCAUUUAUGAUGAGUUUCCUGAAGAAGAAAAAGAAGUCGAGCCUGAUCCUAAACCAAAAGAUGAGGAACUUGCAACCGAGUUAGAAAUUCCACUUGACCCACCUAUUAAUUUGGUUGUAGAGAAACCUCCUUAUAAAGGAAUGCAAAACCAACUAAGGGAUGAUGAACCACCACCUUUAGAGCAUCCCUUUGAAUUCGAGGAAGAUCUUUUUGAAGAUUAUGGAAACACCUCGAAUUUUCCUAUCCAAACACGACCUCUAGCAAGGACCACUCAAUCUGUUCUAAGAGUAGAAUCUGUUGACAUAGAACACAUCAAAAGCCUUUCGGCUAUUCUGAGUUACGAAUGGCUAACAGAAGCAGAGCUGUCUCCUGAGGUAGCUCGGAUCGUCACUCCUUCAACCAUUCUUCUGUGCCAAAUCAGAAGGUCCGCUAGGAAGGUCCACUACAAUCCAUAUGUUGGGAUAAAUGUUAUUUCCAAGGAGUUAGCUGACACUCUUUAUCCCAACGAGUCCAUAACCCCAUCUCAAAAACUUUUACAAAGUCCAUCUAGACUAAUUCUAGAAAGCCAUGGGGUAUUAAGGGCAGUUCCUGUUAGAAUCAAGGACUCUGGAAUAUGUCUAGAUUUCCACAUUUUUGACAUACCAGAGAUUCCUCUCUUGAUUGGCAGACCAAUCAUGAAACUUCUACAGGAACAACCACAACGAGGUCAUUUAGACUUCAAGGUUGGGAAUUCCACUAUUGUUGUUCCUCCUGCUAGAUCAAUUAACACGAUAGUGGAACCCAAACUAGACCCAGAUCCUAUUGAGGAGGUCUUAAUGGUGACUCAAGAGGAGAUGACCCAACCAUUCUUUAAUCAUGAACACUUUGUUCAAGAAGAAGAAGAGUUGGUAGAACCUGUUGAGCUAGACAAAAAUGAACUACCUUCACCUCCUUCGAUAGAAUUAAAACCUCUUCCUUCUGGCCUUAGAUAUGUCUUCUCGCACAACAACUCAAAAACUCCAGUAAUUAUCAGUGACAAGCUUUCCGAUUAUGAAACACAACAACUUGUCACUGUUCUUGAAAGACAUAGAUCAGCAUUCGGCUACUCUCUCGAGGAUCUCACGGGCAUUAGUCCCAUUCUCUGCACUCAUCGUAUCCCUAUUGAUCCCAAUUCUACACCUUCAAGGGAACCACAACGGAGACUUAACAAUGCUAUGUGAGAGGUUGUUAAGAAAGAGGUCCUCAAACUCUAUCGUGCUGGGAUUAUUUAUCCUGUGCCACAUAGUGAGUGGGUUAGCCCUGUCCAAGUAGUGCCAAAGAAAGGAGGAAUGACGGUCGUUAGGAAUGAGAAGAAUGAACUCAUCCCUCAACGAAUUGUCACUAGGUGGCGUAUGGGUAUUGACUAUCGAAAACUCAAUAAGGCUACAAAGAAAGAUCAUUUUCCGUUACCCUUCAUUGAUGAAAUGUUGGAACGGCUUGCAAACCACUCUUUCUUUUGUUUCCUUGAUGGUUAUUCUGGAUAUCACCAAAUCCCAAUCCACCCAGAUGACCAAGAAAAGACUACCUUUACAUGCCCAUAUGGAACUUAUGCAUACCGACGAAUGUCGUUCGGAUUGUGCAAUGCUCCAGCUUAUUUCCAACGGUGCAUGAUGUAUAUUUUCUCGGACAUGAUUGAGAAGAUCAUGGAGGUUUUCAUGGAUGAUUUUACCGUCUAUGGCAAAACCUUCGAUCAUUGUUUGGAGAACUUAGAUAGAGUCUUGCAGCGAUGUGAAGAAAAGCACUUAAUCCUGAACUGGGAGAAAUGCCAUUUUAUGGUUCAGGAAGGAAUAGUGCUAGGACAUAAAGUGUCCGAACGUGGUAUAGAGGUGGACAAAGCGAAGAUUGAAGUUAUUGAAAAACUUCCACCUCCCACGAAUGUGAAAGGAAUUCGUAGCUUUUUGGGACAUGCAGGGUUCUAUAGACGCUUUAUCAAGAAUUUCUCUCAAAUUGCUAGACCCCUAACUAAUCUCCCAGCUAAGGACGCACCUUUCAUCUUUAGUGAUGAGUGUCAUGAAUCUUUUCAAACUCUUAAGAAAGCACUCAUCUCAGCCCCGAUUAUCCAACCACCAGAUUGGAAUCUUCCUUUUGAGAUCAUGUGUGAUGCUAGCGAUUUUGCGGUUGGUGCCGUUUUAGGACAAACCAAGGAUAGAAAGCAUUAUGCCAUAUCCUACGCUAGCAAAACCUUGUCUGGACCACAGCUCAAUUAUACUACAACUGAAAAAGAGCUUUUGGUUGUUGUCUUUGCUAUAGACAAGUUUAGAUCUUACUUAGUGGGGGUAAAGAUAAUCAUCUAUUCAGACCAUGCUGCUCUCAAGUACCUCCUCACUAAGAAAGAUGCUAAGCCUCGUCUAAUUCAAUGGAUUCUUCUUCUCCAAGACUUUGACAUAGAAAUCCGAGAUAGGAAGGGAGUUGAGAAUUCCGUAGCCGACCACUUGUCUAGGCUUCAAUAUAAGGAAACACAUGAUGAGCUUCCCAUAAAUGACUACCUAAGGGAUGACACCCUGCUUAAGAUAACACACGCAGAUCCAUGGUACGCAGACAUCGUAAACUUUAUAGUAAAAGGCUAUGUCCCACCUGGUGCAAACAAAAGGAAGUUGCUUCACGAUAGUCGUUUCCACCUUUGGGAUGAGCCAUAUCUUUUCCGAGUCUGCGCUGAUGGACUCUUGAGAAGGUGUGUUCCUAUGGCUGAGGCUACUCAAAUUAUGGAAAGAUGCCAUGCCUCGCCAUAUGGAGGACACUAUGGAGCAUUUCGGACACAUGCUAAAAUUUGGAAAAGUGGCUUUUUCUGGCCAACGAUGUAUGAAGAUACAAAGGACUUUGUCAGGAGAUGCCACCGAUGUCAAAAACAUGGGAAUAUUAACUCACGAAAUGAAAUGCCUCUCACAAAUAAUCUUCAAGUAGAACUUUUCGAUGUAUGGGGCAUUAAUUUCAUGGGGCCAUUCCCUAUGUCCGGGAAUUGCAAAUAUAUCUUAGUAGCCGUGGACUACGUGUCCAAAUGGGUAGAAGCCUUACCUUGUCGAUCAGCUGAUUCAAAACAUGCCAAGAGAAUGUUCCAUGAAGUAAUCUUUCCUCGCUUUGGUAUACCCUGGAUAGUUAUAAGCGAUGGAGGUUCCCACUUCAUCGACAAAAUCUUCCGGAAGUACCUAGCCGAUCAUGGAGUUCGACACAACAUCGCAACACCAUACCAUCCUCAGACUAGCGGUCAAGCCGAAACACCUAACAAACAAAUCAAAAAUAUUUUACAAAAGACCGUAGAUGAGAUGGGUAAGGGGUGGAAGGACAAACUUCCUAAUGCACUUUGGGCAUAUAGAACUGCAUUCAGAACACCCAUAGGCAUGUCACCUUAUCAACUUGUAUAUGGAAAAACUUGUCACUUGCCUGUGGAAGUAGAGUUUAAGGCUCAUUGGGCACUCAAGAAAUGGAACAUGGAUCUCCACCUCGCUAGUGAGAAUCGUCUGAUGCAACUAUCUGAGCUAGAAGAAUGGAGAGAGAAAGCCUACCACAAUUCAAGGAUUUAUAAAGAGAGAACAAAACGAUGGCAUGAUAAGAGAAUCAAGCACAAGGAGUUUAAGCCUGGAGAUAAGGUUCUACUAUUCAAUUCAAGAGUUAAGCUCUUUGGGCAUGGUAAGCUACGAAGAAAGUGGGAUGGACCAUACAAGGUUAUUGACAUUUCAACUCAUGGAGCCAUUACCAUCCAAGACGACAGAGGUAACACUUUUAAGGUAAAUGGUCAACGCUUGAAAAUCUAUCUUGAGCCACAAAACAACCUGGUAGAGGAACUUGAUGUGAUUGAGUUCAUAGAAUUCUCAUAUUAAGCUCUAGACAAUUACCUAACCCUUAACAUGCUCCACAAGUUUUGUUGUCUAUUUGGGUUGUGUAGGAUUUUGAGGCUUAAGAAGAGUGAGACCAACCAUGCAGGCCACAAGAGCGAAUGACUAUGUCAACAUCCAGCUUGGGGGAGGCACCCCCACAUGUAUCUAGAUAAGUAUUACUUUUCUUCCUUUGGUUUUAUUUUCUAGUAUUCGAAAAUAAAUAAAUAAAUAAAUAAAAAUGCAUAACCAUGAAACCAAACAAAGUUUUUCUUUUGAGUAAUAUACAAUAGUUUUGUGUAAUCCUAAGUUUUAGAUAAAAAUAAAAAAAAAGUUUGAUUCAAGUCUAGGUAAUUGACAAACAUGAUAUGAGAAGGUCUGAGCUACUAUUUAACUUGUUCUAAGUUUUGCUAGAGUUCUGGAGAUUUUAUCUUUUGAAAAUCUAAAAAUUCAUAAAAAAUAUAAAUAUAUGAGAUCAUAAUACCUAGAGUCUUAUAAGAAAUAAAUAUUAAAACUGUGGGUACUUUCUUUGUUCAAGCCAUUGUUAAUUCUUGUAGUUUUGGUUGAGAGAAUUAUCAUGCUCUCAAGAUCAAGAUCUUUUUGUUUUAAAAAUAUAAAAGAUUCACUCUUCCAAAGUAUUAUUGCGUUAGAGGCAUGGGACUAUGCAAAAAUUUGUUUCAAAAAAAAGAAAGAGUGAGACGAGAGGUAAAAAUGGACAAGUGUCCGAAGUAGAAUUAGGGGUACAAAGAUACCCACUUGAGUGAAAAAAAUGGACAUGUGUCCGACAGUAGAAUUAGGGGUACUUGCUGCCCACUUAAAAAAAGAAGAGACUGAAAAAAAAGAAAAAAAAGAGAAAAAAAAAUGAUAGCCCAUGGUUCCUCUAAUAAGCAAUAUGCCAGUAAGAGAUGACAAACUUUUCAAAAAGGUGAAAGGUCUUGAUCCAGGAGUAUGACAUUCCUCUCCCUUGCUCCGAGCUUUGACAUAGCAAAAUGCAAAGUAAGUAAGCUAAAACUUUUAAAGCUCUACUUAUAUAUCUUUCGAGAAGAAGGCAAAUAACUUAGUUUUAUUUUGAAAACUUACAAACAACUCCGGAACAAAGGUAAGACAGAAGAGCUUGAGACAUAGUGCUUGACUUGAUCGUUCUGUUUUUCAAUCACUUAAGACCUUAAAACCCUGUAGUAAGAGGCAUAAAAGUAACCCCUAUUUUCUUACUGAUUUUAGCUUUGCUCAGGGACGAGCAAAGGUUAAGCUUGGGGGAGCUUGUUGACGGUCCUUAAUGCUCACAUUUAACCAUCAACUAAUCAUGGAAAAGGAUCCAAAUGCAACCAACACCUAGACUUAGGGUUUUAUCUGACAGAAUUCCACGAGUUUUGGUAUUUAUCUAUUUCUGCAGGGGGUUAUCAGGAAAUAUGGAAGAAAGGCCCACAUGUCGGGAUUACGUAGAGAUAUUAACGUGCCGCGCAAUUUUCUACCAUCUAGAAGACUCUAGAUGCCACGGGAACGAACGGGAAGGCGAUCGGGCUCGGAGGCAGGGCGCCCGCCCUACUCUCCUGGGCGCCCGCUCUGCUACAGUGCCCAAUCAGGGUCAACUUCGCGGAUCGUGCUCCACCGACUCUAAGGAUCAAGGAAAAUCACGCGAUUAAGGUCGGUUUGAUCGGAUGGUGGAGAAUAACGUGGAAAUUCCUUGGGAGCUACUCUUCCUAGAUUUCUUGGGAGCUACUCUUCCUAGAUUUCUUGGGGGCUACUCUUCCUGGACUAUAUAAGCAGACCCCCACCAGCCCCUGGAGGCAUACCUCUUCUACAGAAUCAAAGCUAGGGUUUCAAUUCUUCAUCCAAGUAGAGAGGAUCCCUCUAGUUCUUCUAGUUCUAGUUCCUCUAGUUCUAGUUCUAGUUAGUUCUAGUUGUAAUCUAGAAAAUAGGGAGAGAGAAGAGGAGAGCGGAGGAGGAGCCGGAUCUGUCGUAUCUUCCUCAACAUUGUACUUUUGCAGCAACUGGUUCGUUCUUCAUCGUUCUCCAGGUUCUUCAAUUCAUAAUCCUGAGUUCUUUAAUUACUUUUAUUUACAUUCAAGUUAUUUAUUGGAUUCCUGCUUGCAUCAAGUGCUCUAAUCUUUGCAACAUUAGAGUAGUAAUUAAUAGAUUAGACGUGGUGUUUAGUCUUGCAAUUACCUGGAAUUGCACCCAAUCCUGCGGAUUGUUCUGGUAGCCUUAGGGUAGUGACAGCCCUAACGGUCGACGUAUUCCACCUCGUUCGGAUCGGUGUUUGUAGGACCGUAGUCAGACCUUCCUAGCCCCCUUCUCAUCUCUUUCUGUGGUUAGUGCUCUGAUGUCCCGAUAUAGAUAAUCUUGAAGUAAUUCUUGAUUCUUAUGUCAACUAGAGAACUCUUAGGAAACUUCCUCUCUUUCCACCAAAAAUAAUUAUAUAGUUAUCCUUGGGCGAUCUUGGAUCUUAAUUAGUACACUCACGUUCUCUGUGGAAAAUCGAUACACUCACGCUGAGAGACCGAGUGCGGGACGCCCUCCACAUCGGGGUGAAGCGGGCGAUGGCAGUUGUCUGCUCGGGCUUCUCCUAUGACAUGGAGGUGGUGUCCCACGGCUUCGUCACCGACAUCUCCAAGACCGACGCGGAGAACGAAGAGAGGCUCCAUGCCUUGAUCGACGACGCGGAGGCUCCUGGAGAGAGGCUGGCCAAGCUUUUUGAACCUGAGGCGCUUCCUCCUGAGACUAGCUCGGGCAGAGGCGAGGGUGGUGAGGAUCGUUCCAUGGACUGAGGCCUGCGAGCCUGCUCAGGGUGCCCAGGGCCCCUUGUAUAAUACUUUGUUAAUCCUGUUGUUAAGCGAUACAGUAUCUUUUUGUAAUUAUUAAAUGCUUAUUUGUCUUUCCGCUCGAGGUUCUUUUAUUUCUCUUUGUUCCUACGUUUGAGUUCCUUGUUCGAUCUUUCGUAAAAAACAACCUCGAUCGCCUCAAGGGUGAGGGAGUGAGUAGAGUUUCCGUAGCCCGGGGGCGUAGGAGUUCUUAGGCUCGUUGUCCCUCGGCCUUUGAGGGGCUCGAGGUGCCUUAGCUACUCGAAUCGUGCAAGGUUUACUAAGUAGGAAGAGAAAAUUUCUUGGCUUUUUCGACGCACGGGGAGGGGUUGUCCCCCUGGUAGCCCCCGAGGGGGUGUUGACUAUGAUGGGUCAUAGUCGGCACCCCCUUCUAACGUCGAGAUUAUGACUUGUAAAUCCUUGGUGCAAAAAAGAAGUUGCUCGAGGGAAAGACUUCGUAUAUUCAUUCAUUCGUUUACAAAGUCUUGGUACAAAAUGUAAGCAGGAACAUAAGUUUAGAACUUCUAGGGGUAGAAUCGACGUAGCUGUUCAAUGUUCCAUGCGUUGGUGAAGAUCGCUCCCUUCUCGUCCGCUAACUUGUACGUCCCUGGUUUCAGGACCUCGGCCACCACAUACGGGAACUCCCAAGGUGGAGUCAGCUUGUGGCGUCCUUGAUUGCUUUGCCGGCGUCGUAGGACAAGGUCACCCACGUGGAGGUCCCUCUUGCGCACAUGCUUGUCGUGGUAGCGUCGAAGUUUCUGCUGAUAUCUGGCAGAGUUGAGGAGGGCCAUGUCUCGAGCCUCCUCGAGCUGGUCGACCGCGUUCUCUUGAGUUUCCUUAUUCGACUGCUCGUUGUAUGCCUUGAGUCGAGGAGAUCCAUACUCGAGGUCCAUUGGGAGCACGGCCUCGGAACCGUAGACCAUGAAGAACGGGGUGUAUUUAGUGGCCCAGCUUGGGGUCGUCCUCAAACUCCAUAAGACCGAGGAAAGCUCCUCGACCCACUUCUUGGCAAAUUUCUUCAGGCGAUUGUAGAUUCUUGGUUUGAGCCCCUGCAAGAUCAUGCCGUUGGCGUGCUCGACCUGGCUGUUAGUUCGAGGGUGAGCCACCGCGGACCAGUUCACACGGAUGUGAUGCUGAUCGUAGAAGUCCAAGAACUUUUUGCCGGUGAACUGGGUGCCGUUGUCGGUGAUGAUCACGUUAGGGAUUCCGAAUCGGUGUAUGAUGUCGGUGAAGAAAAGGACGGCUUGCUCGGAGCGGAUGUUGGUGAUGGGUCGAGCCUUGAUCCAUUUGGAGAAUUUGUCGAUGGCCACCAGCAAGUGGGUGUACCCUCCUUUCGCCUUUUGCAGGGGCCCUACUAAGUCGAGUCCCCACACCGCGAAUGGCCACGUGAUGGGAAUCAUCUGAAGAGCGUGGGCGGGCAGAUGCGUCUGCUUGGCGUAGAACUGGCAUCCAUGACAUGAACGUACGAGCUCGAUGGCAUCUGCCACGGCCGUUGGCCAGUAGAAACCUUGUCGAAAGGCGUUUCCUACGAGGGUCCAUGGAGCAGCAUGGUGGCCACAAGCCCUCGAGUGUAUGUCCUCGAGGAGUUUUCGGCCUUCUUCUACGGUGAUGCAACGCUGCAAGACCCCCGUCGGGCUUCGUCGGUAUAGCUCAUUGCCUUCGCCAUAAAUCACAUAUGACUUGGCCCGUCGAGCGAUAUGGCGGGCCUCAGAUCGAUCUUCUGGUAGCUCGCAGCGGAUUAGGCAGUCGAGGAACGGUGUGCGCCAGUCGAACGGUCGACCGGGUCGCUGUUCCGCCUCCAUCACCUCUACUGCCAUCAGCAGCGUGUCGACAGUGUCGGUUGGCUGGGCGGGGGCGGCAUCGACGCCAGCCCCCGAGCCCAAGUCGACGGAUGGUUCGUGGAGAUCUCUCGAGAGCGCGUCAGGUGGCACCGUGCCUCGGGUCGACGCGAUUUUAGCGAGUUCGUCAGCUGCUUCGUUGUAGCGUCGAGCGAUGUGGACGAGCUCGAGGCCAUGGAACUUGUCCUCGAGUCGACGGACUUCUUUGCAGUACGCCUCCAUUUUCGGGUCGUGGCAGCUCGAAGUCUUCAUCACCUGGUCGAUGACGAGUUGGGAGUCACCUCGGACGUCGAGGCGUCGAACUCCUAGCUCGAUGGCGAUUUUGAGACCGUUGACGAGGGCCUCAUAUUCUGCGACGUUGUUGGAUGCGGCAAAGUGAAUCCUGAUGACAUACCUCAUAUGGACGCCCAAGGGUGAGAUGAACAACAGGCCAGCCCCGGCCCCUGUUUUCAUGAGUGACCCGUCGAAAUACAUCGUCCACAGUUCCGCCUAGACCUGGGUCGGGCGGAGCUGGGAGUCUGUCCAUUCCGCGAUGAAGUCCACCGGGGCUUGCGAUUUGAUGGCCUUGCGAGGCGCGUAAGUGAGAGUCUCACUCAUGAGUUCGACUGACCAUUUAGCUAUUCUUCCCGUGGCCUCCUUGCUCCGGAUUAUCUCGCCCAAAGGGAAAGACAAGACCACCGUGAUGGGGUGGCCGAGAAAGUAGUGCUGCAGCUUGCGGCGGGCGAGGAUUACGGCGUAGAUCAGCUUCUAGAUUUGGGGGUAACGUACCUUGGUCUCCGAAAGCACUCCAUUGAUGAAAUAGACUGGCCUCUAGACUGGCAGCGCAUGCCCCUCCUCCGGCCUCUCGACCACCACCGCUGCACUGACGACCUGGGUCGUCGACGCAACGUAAAGGAGCAGUGGUUCUGCAGGUUGAGGCGGGACCAAGACCGGUGCUGAGGUCAGCGUUUUCUUCAGUCUUUCGAGAGCUUCCUCGGCCUCGGGGGUCCAAGAAAAGCGCUCGACCUUCUUUAGGAGGCGGUAUAGUGGCAACGCCUUUUCCCCUAGUCUCGAGAUGAAACGGCUCAGAGCCGCCAGGCAUCCUGUGAUUCUCUGUACACCCUUGAUGUCUCGGAUCAGCCCCAUUCUUGUGAUGGCCGAGGCUUUCUCGGGGUUGGCCUCGAUGCCGCGCUGGGACACAAUGUAACCCAAGAGCAUGCCUCGAGGCACGCCGAAGACGCAUUUUUCGGGAUUGAGUUUGAUCUGGUUGGUGCGUAAGCAGCUAAAAGCGAUCUCGAGGUCCUGGAUCAGGUCCCCUCGCCGCUUUGACUUGACGACAAUGUCGUCAACGUAGGCCUCGACCGUCGACCCUAUGUGUUUGCCAAAUACGUGGAGCAUGCAACGUUGGUACGUGGCCCCCGCGUUUCGAAGCCCAAACGGCAUGGUUACAUAGCAAUACAUCCCAAAAGGCGUGAUGAAAGAGGUCGCGAGCUGGUCGGACUCUUUCAUUUUAAUUUGAUGGUAACCAGAAUAUGCAUCGAGGAAAGAAAGGGUUUCACAUCCCGCAGUAGAAUCGACAAUCUGGUCAAUACGUGGUAAUGGAAAAGGAACUUUCGGACAUGCUUUAUUUAGACUUGUAUAAUCGACACACAUCCUCAUUUUCCCAUUCUUUUUCUUAACUAGUACAGGGUUUGCUAACCAGUCGGGAUGAUGAACCUCCUUGAUGAAUCCGGCCAUCAAAAGCUUGUGGACCUCCUCGCCAAUGAUCUUGCGCUUCUCCUCGUCGAAUCGGCGCAACCGUUGCUUCACUGGCUUGGAACCGGCUCGAAUCUCCAAGGAGUGCUCGGCGACUUCCCUCGGUAUGCCUGGCAUGUCCGAGGGACUCCACGCAAACACGUCGGCGUUCGCACGGAGAAAGUCGACGAGAACAGCUUCCUAUUUGGGGUCGAGGUCGGCGCUGAUCGUCAGCACCUUGCCGUCGGAGUUGUUGGGGUCGAGCGGGAUCUUCUUGGUUCCUUCCGCUGGCUCGAAGUUGCCCGUGUGGCGCUUGGGCUCUGGAGCCUCAGCGGCCAGGGCCUCGAGCUUUGCGACGAGCUCGGUGGAGUUCUCGACCGCCUCCCCGUGCUCGACGCACUCGACGUCGCAUUUGUAAGCGUGCUCGAAGGAGGAGCUGACGGUGAUGACGCCUUUGGGUCCAGGCAUCUUCAGCUUCAAGUAGGUGUAAUUGGGAAUGGCCAUGAACUUGGCGUAGCCCGGGCGCCCGAUGAUGGCGAGGUACGUGCCCCGGAACCCGACCACCUCAAAGGUGAGGGUCUCCUUCCUGAAGUUGGCCGCCGUGCCAAAACAGACUGGUAGGUCGAUUCGACCUACUGGCAGCGCCUUUUUCCCUGGCACGACGCCAUGGAACCCGCCGGCGCUUGGCUGGAGUCGUCCCCUAUCGAUGUCGAGGAGGUCGAGGGUCUCGAGAUAGAUGAUGUUGAGGCUGCUGCCUCCGUCCAUUAGCACCUUGGAGAGCCGGGUGUUGAUGAUGAUUGGGUCGACGACAAGCGGGUAGACACCUGGGGCGACUACCUUGUCGGGGUGGUCCUCUCGAUCGAAGGUAAUGGGGGUGCUCGACCAGUUGAGGUACUGGGGUAUUGCCAUUCUUGCCGCGAAGACCUCACGGCGUUCCCUUUUGCGCUGCCUCGCGGUCAACUGUGUCGAAGGCCCACCAUAGAUCAUAGCAGUCGUGGACGGCGGGGAAGCCGUCGUCGUCCUUGCUGCCCUCUUUGUCACCGCCUUUCUCCUUCUUUGAUUCGUCACGCUCAUCCCUUUUGAACCCCAGACCGUCGAAAUGCCUUUUCAGCAUUCGGCAGUCCUUGAGCUUGUGGUUGGCGCCUCCCUUAUGGUAAGGGCAUGGCUCUUCAAGCAUCUUGUCGAAAAUACCUCCGUCUGGGGGGCCUCUGGGCUUCUUCCGCUCCAUGGCAGCGACGAGAUCAUCGUCGAAGUUCUCCUGCUUGUACUGCCGCACUUUCUGCUUCUUCUUGUUCUUCUUGAGUCCUCGACUGGGGGUUCCAUCUUCAUCGGCAGGCCGCUUGCCUUCCCCCACUUCACAGCUGAAGAAGGCGCCGACUGCCUCCUCCCCUGCCGCGUAGUUUGCCACUACGUCCAUCAGCUCAUCGACGGUCUGAGGGCGAUUUCGGCCCAGUUCCCGCACUAAGUCUCGACUGGUGGUACUAGAGACGAAAGCCAGGAUGACGUCAUGGUCGGGGAUGUGCGGCAGCUCAGUGUGCUGCUUCGAGAAGCAUCGAGCAUACUCUCGAAGAGUUUCUCCUGACUUCUGCUUGCACUUGCUGAGGUCCCAUGAAUUUCCGGGCCGUAUGUAGGUCCCUUUGAAAUUUCCCUCGAAGACUUUAACCAAAUCGACCCGGUCGUGGAUUUGAUUUGCUGGAAGUUCCUCGAGCCAUCGACGGGCGGUGUCGGAGAGGAAGAGUGGUAGCUGUCUAAUAAUGGCUCGAUCAUCCCCUCGAGCGCCACCUAACUGGCAGGCCAGCCUAAAAUCAGCCAGCCAUAAUUCUGGCUUGGUCUCUCCAUUGUAUUUCGCGAUGCUGGUCGGGGGUCGGAAUAGACUGGGCAGGGGCGUGCUGCGGAUCGCCCUGCUGAACACCCGUGGGCCCGGUGGCUCGGGGGCCACCCGGUCCUCGUCGCUGUCGUACCUUCCGCCGCGAUGUGCACUGUAACCUCGCUCUUCCGCGUCUCCGUGGCCGCGGCGUCGAUUUUCUUCGAUGUCAUGCCGCGCGUCGUGUCGAUGCUGAUUGUCAGCAGGGAGAACGAGAGCGGUCUUUCUACCUCGAGGAGGAGGCUGUUGAUGGACUGACACCUCCUUUUCAUUUUGAGGCGGCUCGUCGCGCUUUUCAGUGGCAGCUCCCCGUCGUCGAGAAGCUGAGCUUUCGGCUUGUUGAACUGCCGCCACCUGGAGCAGAGUCUGUACUUCGUCUCGAAUGCGCCGAGCCUGGGAGUUCGAUGGCUCUGGCAUGUUGCGUAGCAGCAUCGUUGCCGCUACUACAUUCUGGCCCGCUCGAGGGAAAUGGCUGACGGGCUGCUCUGGCUCUGCGUCUCCGACGAUUUGUCGAUGUACCUCUCUAGCACGUCUUCGGACACUUCCGCCUGGUGGGUAUGGCAGGUCCUGCUCAAGGAUUUGCUCAAGCAGGACGAGGCGCUCUCGGUCUUCGUCGAGCUUCAUCUUGAGCUCUCGCAGCUGUGCUAGCUGUGCAGCCUUGUCUUCUUGUGGAGGGGGGUCGACCUGUCCGUCGUUCCCAGGCGUCCUGGGGUCUUCUCGUGCCGCGGGGGCUCGACCGCCCGCAGCAGCAUCCCGCGUCUCAUCGGUAGUUUCUACCGCCCCGUCGAUGUGAUAGCAUUCCCUUGUUGGGUCGUAGCUAUCAGUCUCGGAGUCGGAGUCCGGCUCGGCGGCGUAGAAACAUCCACGUCCCUCCUCCAACAGCCGCUGCCUGAGUGAAGUGAUCGUGUAGCGUCCGGGGCCUAGGCGGCGGAGGCCUCGCACCUGGGAGAGAUCCGGCAGUUCAGACGUCGGCUGUAGUGCUCCAGAGUUACGUGGGAGGACCAUUGGUCUCUCCACGUACGUCUGGGCGUUUGGGCAUAUUACUCUGGCGAGCGACGCCGCGGCGUUAUCUAACCCGAAUGGCAGUGCCCUUCUUGGGGUAAACAACCCGUGUGGAAGUAGCUUUACAGCGGUGGGGGAAGAUGCGCGAGACGCGUCCCCUCCCGUCGUCACGCGGCGUUGAGCCGUCGUGCCCGCAUUUCCGGCACAUGAUGUCACCGGCUCGCGGUCCGCUUCCUGCCUCGCAUGAGUUGCCGGUAGUGAUGAGGCAGAGGGGCGGUGGUGGUGCUGUCCGCGCCUCUUCUUGGGCAGGGAGGCGUGGUGGCGAGGGCGUCUUGGGGCCCUCAACCGAGCUGGUGCAACGCGGGCUCCUCCCGGUCCUUUGACUGAGAGCAAGAUCAUGUCGUAGCCGGAGCCCAUUGAUAUGAACUCGAGACUCCCAAACCAAAUCACCGUUGAGCACGGAAUCGGCGAGGCAAGAGCUGCCAUCUGGAAAGGAGUGGGAAACCGAUGAAAAACACGCAGGACCCCUACCUGGCGCGCCAACUGUCGGUGUUUUCCCCACGGGGGGUCACACCAACGAGUGAAUUUGUAUGCGUGCUCCCUUUCCCAGAUGGUGAUGCAAGAAGACACAGAGAUUUAUCCUGGUUCGGGCAAGAGAAGGCCCUACGUCCAGCGGGGGGGAGAGAGUUUGUAUUAUCUUGUGCCUAAGUGCUUGUACAGGGGCGAAUACAAGCGUGGUAUGGAGUGUGGAGUUCUACUACGAAUGAGCGUUGUGUGUGUGUAAUAUUGCGUGGUGUUGUCUCUCCUGUUCUAUUCCUGAGUCCCUCCUUUUAUAGUUCCAAGGAGAGACCCAGGGUACAUGUAUAGGUGUCAGAAUAGGAGUCGAUAGCAGCAUGGAGCACUGACCUACACGAGGCUUCCGUACUGGCAUGGCCUCGAGCCGUCCCGUCUUGAUAGCCUGGUGAUGAUUACGCGUGCCCCUGCAUUCUGCUCUGCGCGCCGUCUUGUGUUGGUUCAACGGUCGCACGCUCGUACGGCAUGGCGGCAGAUCCGGCGGGGUGGUUGCGGUGUUGUCAGUCGACGUCCAACUCGUCCCCAGGAAGGAACCCCGUUCGGUCGAGGGUCGGACGCCGUGUAACGUGGCGAUGUCCGGAGCGCUGACCUUGAAUGUCUCGAGGGGGUCCCGAUUAGACGUCCCAUCCUUGUUUCCCGCGUCCUGAUAUGCCCUGGGUCGUUCAGCGGGAAGGCUGCAAAAAGGUCGAUGGGACAGAUGCCUGUUCCCUAUCACGCCUCCCGUGACAUGUGUGUUAGGUGGGGAAGCGUCAGGCACAUUUAAUGCCCCGACUCGCGUGCGCGCGUCAGGCGGCGGGCGGCGUCCUUGCGCUCGACGCCUCCCGGUUCGCGUGAGCCUGUUCCGUAUUCGACGGUAACCAGCGCUCGACGCCUGACCGAUUCGCUCGACGCUAUUUCCGUCUUCGAGGUUGUGGUCGUCGAUGGCAGCGCACGCGUAAGACUAGAGCGUCGAAUUGAGGGCCUCGACCUGCGUACGGGCAAUCUCGUAAUGCGCAUCGGUGAGGGUACCCCUUACUGAUACCCUCGACAUUAUCAUAUUUAUUAUGUGGCUAGAUCAGAUUAGUUAUCCUUGUCACUAUUAUUAUUUCAUAUAUCUUUUAUGUGACACUUAUCCCUGUAUGAAGAGUUAGAUAUAAUGUUCUCAAUUAUACAUGCAAUGAUAGAUGCUCAAUCUCAUAUUCUAUUCUGUAAUCAAUAUUGAUGAUUGCUAAUCCCUUCCCAGUGGUAAAAAUAUAAAUAACGAUACCUGGAAUACUUCCCGGUUAAAAUGCUACAUCGGUAUUAAUCUGUGCGCUUGCAGAUCCCAUUCAUUAUUUAUUUAGAAGAGCAAUUGCAUAUUUCAAUACCGCGUCUCUCAUGUCAUGCUGGGGAUGACAACUUGGCUUAAGCGGUGUGAGGGAUAGGUUUGGCAUUUUUGGCACCGUUACUAGAUUUAGAGAACUUAGUCUACUUUUGGUAAUAAUGUUAAGAAUACCCAACAAGCAUUUUUGGCGCCGUUGCCGGAGAAUGUUGAUUACUAAUCAGGAAUGGAAUAAAGGAUUUUGAGUUAUCAUUCGCAUCACUAAUAUGAUUGAGCUUAUCUAUUCUCUCAUACAGUUUUACCCCGAUAUUUUCCUAUUUUAUCUUAUGCAGGGGAAUGUAUGAAUAGAAGACAUCUUCCAGGAAAUUUUGUUGACAAUCCUGAAGCAUUAUUCAAGAAGACGAGAGCCAAGCUAAAGAAGAGAUCAUCAACACUUCACGAAGAAGCUUCAUCCAAUCAAGAAGAUCACCGGAACUUGUCUUCAGAGUUCGAGGCCAUGGCGAACAAAUCAAUCCGUGAGUUCUCAGCUCCCACUACGGACAACAUCCGCACUGGACCUGCUGCAGAGAUCGACCGCAACUUUGAGCUCAAGCCUGGACUUAUCAACAUGGUGCAAUCCAACCAGUUCUGUGGGAAGGCACACGAAGAUGCUAGUGCUCAUUUACAACACUUCCUGGAGAUUUGCAAGACAUUCACCAUAUCAGGAGUUUCCAAAGAUGCUAUACUACUUCGCCUCUUCCCAUUCUCACUGUUAGGAAGAGCAAAGCAGUGGUUUUACGCUACAAAGGAGAAGAAAUACUACGUGGGCACUCUGCUCAACAAACUUCCUGGCAAAGUUCUUUCCCAUGGGCAAGACCAAUGCUCUCCGUGGGAAGAUUACAAGUUUUCAGCAACAAAAUGAUGAAUCUGUUCCAGAAGCAUGGGAGCGCUUUCAAGACUACAUCCUAGAAUGUCCCCAUCAUGGAAUGGAGAGUUGGCUAUUGAUGCAGACAUUCUAUCAUGGGCUCGGCAACAGUGCCCGAGAGACCAUGGAUGCUGCAGCUGGAGGAGCAUUCUUAUCACUUACUAUACCACAAGCCACAGCCCUUGUGGAAAAGAUGGCGUCCAACCAAAGCUCGAAUGAAGAGAGGACCCAUACACGCAAGAGAGGUGGAGGUAUGCAUCAGCUGAAGGAGGUAGACAUGCUGUCUGCAAAGCUAGACCUGCUCAUGAAGAAGCUCGACGAUAGAGCUGGAGAUAAGAAGGAAGUUAUGCACAUCUACGACUCUCACAUGACUUGUGAGGAGUGUGGAGACACUGGACACUCAGGCAACCACCGCCCUGAGAUACUUGAGGAUGUGAACUACAUCAACAACAAUAACAACAACUACUACAACCGUCCUCAACAAAAUCAAGGUUGGAAUCAACAGAGGCCUAACUACUCAGGUAAUUAUCAAGGUAACAAUUCUUACAAUAAUAAUUUUCCACCUUUGAGAGAGUUAGUGUCUAAUCAAUGAAAGGUAAUGGAUAACCUAUCUAAGAAAUUGGCAUCUAAUGAUAAAAUACUAGAAAAUAUAAAUAAUAGAAUGGAUAAUUUCUCUACUGCCAUCAAGAAUCAAAUUAGCUUUAAUAAAAUGAUUGAAUCCCAGUUAAAUCAAUAGCUGCUGCUGUUCCAACUACUAACCCCGGUAUACCAUCACAACCGGAAGGAUUAGAAUCUGCAAAUCUUGUAGACAUGUUUGAUGCAGGUAAUUGGAGUAACCCCGUCAAUGAAUUUUCUACUCACCUUCUGCCGGUCAAGAGAGGCGAUCCAGGACGCCCCGUCAUCCCGAUCUCCAUCGGCAUGAUGGACGUUCCAGAAGCACUCUGCGACUUUGGCUCUAGCGUCAACAUUAUACCCAGGGUACUCUAUGAAAAAUUCUUUACAUAUCCUUUAUUAGAGACAACCAUGUGUUUGCAGUUUGCAGAUCAGACGAUAACUUUUCCAAAAGGAAUAGUGAAGAACCUUUGUGUCCGAGUUGGUACCUUAUAUUCCCCAGCAGACUUCGUAGUAGUAGAGACCGGAAAUGAUGAGAGGGCACCUAUCAUCUUAGGGAGGCCAUUCUUGAAUACCACGGGAGCUAUCAUCUACGCCAGUGCUGCCAAGAUCAGUUUCUACGUCAAAGGGAAGAAGGAGACAUUUUUCUUCAAGAACAAGACUACACAAAUUCAAGAUCAAUCCAGACGUAAAUCAAGGAAGAGGACCAACAGGAGAAACAGGAACAAGCAAGUGUGGACCGAGUCAGCUAAGAUGGUCACUGUAGUUCAUGGAGGCCAAGAUCAUCAACUUAAGUCACCGUUUUUGAUCAAGAAGGAGGACCUAGGAAUGCCAAGCAUUUACUGCUCCAUAAAUGGAUACAACUUCUACAAGACAUUUUGUGACACCGGAUCGGGCGUCAACAUAAUGGCCGCAGUCACCUAUCGGCUCUUGUUCGGGACCAUGCCACUAACACCAACAUACAUUCAGCUCCAGAUGGCAGAUCAGACAUUUCGAGAAGUUAAUGGAAUAGUAACUGAUGUCCCAGUCAAAAUAUACGAUCACUUUGUCUACACAGACUUUCAGGUUAUUGACAUGGGAGAAGAUGAGUAUGAUCCACCCAUCAUCCUUGGAAGACCGUUCCUCAGCACCGUUAAAGCAAUUAUCUACAUUGGAACCGGAGAAGUCCAUAUGCACUUCCCCUCAGAGAAGGUACGCCGUUAUUUUACUGACCCUAACUAUAUCGUUGAAGAAUCUAAGCAGGUAAGAAAGUGACGCAACCGCAACCAGAGGAGGCAGAUCAUCAAGGACGGAUGGGCAGACUAUGAAGGAGAAGUGGUAAGGUCAGAAGACGUAGAGUUUAAACAGAAUUAUCCAGAGGAGACGGAAGCACCGAGCCAGGUGUGGAAAAUGAAGAUAACUGUACAAGAAGAGGAGGCGCUGCUGGAAGUACCGACUACGCCACCUAACGAACCUCAGGACGAUUAAGAAAAUGGAAAGUCCCGUUCGGAGGACUUAAAAACACCGAACGCCUUGCCAAGAGGUAAACUUGGUAGUUAUCCUUUUCCAUUUCAAAUUAUUCCAACUAGUUUACUUAGUUAAUCAUAUUCGUGCUAUUCUAAAAAGAAAAUAAAAAAAUAUGAAAAACAGUAAGCCCCAUGUGAGUAUACGAGUGGCAUAAAACCCAUAAGUACAUUCACUGUGGUGGCAUAAAAAUAAAAUAAAUAUUUUUCUGCUUUAUAAAAAUGAAAAUAUAAAAACAGGGAGUAAUAAUUAUUAAGGAGUCUCAACAUAAUAAAAGCUAGAUAUUUAUGCUAAUACUUAAUCAGUUCCACAAGCUUUGUUGUCUAUUUGAGCUCCACAGAAUUUAAGAAUCAAGAAGACUAACAGACGGAGGACAUUCUAAUCGCUGUCAGAAUGCUGCUGACUUUCAAAUACACCUCUGCCACCUGCUAGCUACAUCAAGAGAAAUUACGUCAAAAUUCAGCUUGGGAGAGAGCACCCCAAUUAUCCCGAUAAGUAUUUCUAUCUAUCUUUAUACUUAUAUUAUUUUAGAAUAUUAAAAUACAUA
Molecule: long non-coding RNA, 48893 nt
Filed under: Sorghum bicolor (sorghum)
Lineage: Eukaryota; Viridiplantae; Streptophyta; Magnoliopsida; Poales; Poaceae
Description: long non-coding RNA (SBIC_LNC000739)
Rfam family: Plant small nucleolar RNA R71 (bases 23498-23604)
Source: RNAcentral